CCCCACAACCUGCAUUCCUUUCCUAGAAAUUUAAGAUGAAUUCAUGUAUACAUGCAAGUAGUUGAUACAACAACCUAUUAGUUACUCGGAUGCUUGCUCUAUUGGUGUCUGCAUUUUUUAAUGUUACAUGCAUCUAUUUUUAUUACAUAACGUUUUUCAGCUGCGGGACUCCACGUUGAUGUGCUUUUUACCUUAACAUUUUAUUAUCUGUUUUUGUUUAGGCAAGGAAGAAGGUUGCAGAGCACGGAUGGAUGUGAAAAGGAAGGGGAUGGAUGAGAGAGGAGAGAAGAGGGGUGAAAGAGGAUACAUAUGGAAAGAGGGAGAAGGACAGGGUGGAGGUGCUUCUUGAGGAUUAUUGUCGACUGAUUUCAUACUCUCUUAUAAAUUCAUGGUUAGCUAGGUAAACCUUUUGUACAACAGCUCUUGUUCAAAAGGAAGUUUGAUUUUUCGGCUUCUUAUUUUAGGUCAAUAUCAAGAACAGUUUAGUUAAUUUAGUUUAAUGUUUAUGUUUGAAAUUGACUUUUACCAUUCUGGUUGAAUGGGGGUGUGGAUAGAAGAGAUUGCGAGUCGGGUACGGUGAUGCCAACAUUGUAUUAGGGGCAGAUAGAUUUAAGUUCCGUCUUAUGUCCAUGAGGAUAGGAUCACUAUUAAAUCAUCAGAAUAAGUUUGCUCCUGUUGCAACGCAUGGGCAAUGGGAGAAAUGUGAUGUCCAUGUGAGUAUCUAAAGGUAACAAGUUAUACAUGAUUAGUAUUGUGCACGAGCUACUCGUGAGUCAAUUGAAUUUUGAAUCUUUGCAAGUUGAUUUUUGGGAGAACACAAGUGCAACCUGAGGCCGAAGUCGUUGAUGGCACUACGAGAUGCAAUGGCGAUGCCGAAGGCGUCGAUGGCACUGCGAGGCUGAGCCCUCGUAGGAGACAAGGACGACACUUCGAGCGGUAGUGAGGAGUGGCGUCAUAGUCGGAGGCGAGGAAGAAGGUUUGUAGGGGUGCGGUGGUUCACCAAAAAAAUCUGGUCGCUAGGCGGUAGUGAGGAGUGGCGUCAUAGUCGGAGGCGAGGAAGAAGGUUCAUAGGGGUGCGGUGGUUCACUGGAAAAAUCUGGCCGCUAGGCUGGUUCAGAGGGUUAGUCGGGGGUGGCGGUCGCGGCUAGCGGAUCGGCAGGCGGUGGCUGGCUGUUAAGGAGGAAGAAGCCCAAGGUAGAAGACAAACAACAACCAUUCGAUGAAGAUCCAAUGUUGCUCGAGCAGUGGCGUCAUAGUCGAAGGCGGGAAGAGGGUUGACAGGUGUGGGUGGUGGUGCGAUGGCUCGCUAAAAAAAUCUGGUUACCGGGGUGGUCCACAGGGAUAGUCGAGGAUGGCGACAGGGGAGGGCAGGGAAGCAACGCGGUCGGGGGUGGUGGCGAUGGGUGGAUCAACCGGUUGUAGUUGGCGGUUCAGUAGGAGGAAGAGGUCAGGGGUAGAGGAUAAACAACAACCAUCCGACUAAAGACCUAACAACCCUCAUAAAUCAACUUUGCAUCAAAUUUUCAUAGUCUGACAUAUAACUGACACCCUUAAUACCGAGAUAUUUAGAAUAUUUUUGAUCAUAUUUAUAUGAAAAAAUACCAUCUUAUGCAAUACUAAAGUUAUACAUUAUAAAAAUUGAACUCGUGAUGUGCAUCUAAUGAUAUUGAUUCCGUAUUGUGAUUUUUUUUUGUAUUUUCUAUAAAGUUGGUAAACUUUACAAAGUUUGAUUUUAGACAAAUCUUAUAUGCGAGUAAAAGGACCGGAGGGAGUACUAUGUUGCUUUCUACAUGUCUUCUUAUGGCCUUAUUAAGGAUCUUCAUUUCUAUGGGUUUAAACACAAGAUGUUAUUUUUGUAGCACAUUUCUGAUAAGUUUUUCUUCUAUAAAGCUAUAAUUUCAACCACAUUCUAAAAUAUAAGUGGGAUUUGAUGAGAAGUAAUCAUUGUGUUUGUUCAUAAUCUAUCAGACACGACAACGUUCAUGUCGAAUGUGUUCUAGAAAUGUUCUUUGAUAAAUAUGUUUUUAGCUAUUAAUAUUUUAGUAUGGUCAUAAAUUUAUCAAUUCACAUAUCACUUCGAUAAACAAUUUUUAGUUGGGAGAAUCAAGAAAGAAAGAAAAGAAGAGCGCUUCAAGGGUAAAAAGGUAGUUGCCGAUGCAUCCCAUCGUGCAACAUGGUAAGUAAAGUAUUUUGUCUAUUGUUAUCAUGGUUUAUUGUUGUUUCUAAUAGCUCCACUUGUAGAUUUAUCUUCCCUAUGCAUUCAUCGGCUGAUACAUCUUGUACGUCAUCGACAAAGAGGUACGUCGUCUAUAUAUUAUGGACCCUAUUCAAACAUCACAAUAAACGGCAAUGUGUUUAAAAGUUUGAGGCAUGCACUAAAAUUAAAAAGUUUUGCAAAGGAUUUCAAAGAAGCACUCAAAAUAAAGCUGUCUGGUUGGAAUUCCAAUAUAUCUAAACGGCAAUGUUUAUUUCCGUUUAGUAUUCCAACAAGUAUAGAUGGUAAUGAAUUCAUAAGAAUUUUUUUUUAUUUUUGUUAUCACUAUAUUUUUUAUUUAUUAAUUUAAAAAAUUGCAGGAAUGUGUUUGCCUAUUUUGUUUUUCAUUUUAUGCUCUGGUGGAACGGUAAAGAAUUGGUCAAGCCGGUUUGCACGGUGAGUAUUGUCCGUUACAUGUUUUAAGACCUUUGGCGUGAACUUCUCAUACUAACUAUAUAUAUUUGUUUGUGCAGAAUGGGUAUGAGUUGAGGAAGCAGUUUUUACUAUACUUGCUAAAACGUCGUGGGAAUGAAGCUAAAGAAAACUUUCCAGAUAUUGUGAAAGAAUUUCUUAAGCGCAUCAUCUAGAUAUUGAUAGUUUUGUAACAGAUGUUUAGUUCGAACAUCGCUCAGUUUGUUACAUGGACAUGUUGUUAAUCUUUAGUUUUGUUAUCAAUUUACAUUACAAAAUUGGACUUCAAUUAUUCAAUAAUUGUGUUUGUGUUAUAUUGUUUGUACAUAUGAAAUUUAACAUGCAACUUUUGUAAACUAUUUUAAGAGCCCAUGGCAACGCACGGGCACUCUACUAGUUAGGAGUAGAGAUAUGCAAAUAAAAUUCUUCUAGCAAAAAAAACCCACCUAAUUAGUCUAAGUUUUGCAUUUUUUCAUAAGAUAUUUAAUAGCGGCAUGAUCAGUGUGAACAAUUACUUUAGAACCAAUAAUAUAAGAUCUGAAUUUAUCACAUGCAAAUACAACUACUAAAAAUUAUUUCUCAGUAGUAGCAUAAUUUUUUUAAGUACUGUCUAGAGUUUUACUAGCAUAAUGGAUGACAUUCAAUUUCUUAUCAAUUCUUUGUCCUAAAACAACACCAACAUCAUAGUCACUAGCAUCACACAUAAUUUUAAAAGGCAAGUUCCAAUCAGAUGAUUGAACAUGCUAUGUUUGAACUCCAAUACAUUUUGCCUCUUGCAAAAAUUGUUUUUGGGAUACAAUGUUUUUUAUUAAAAUAAUUCCGGGAUGCCGUCAAUGAGUUUUGGGGGACAGCCGGUUGCGGUAUGUGCCAGAGAUGUUCCAACCCGAAAAGAAAUGGGCCCUACGACGUUCGCGGCCCAUAACAAGCAAAGUGUUCUUCUAUAACUCAUUCACUCAGAAAAAAAAAAAGGAACCCCCUCAAAUCAAAGAAAAAAGAAGAAGAAGAGGGACCCAAGCGCACAUUCCGCUUGUUUUCUUUUUCUUUCCUUCUCCUCUCAUCUAGGGUUUCCCUAAUCCCAGCCGACACCAUGCCACCCCGUCCUCCAGGCAGCCUCGGCCGCGGCCGCGGCCGCGGGCUCGGAUCCCCCGUCGCCAACCCCGUGCCAACCAGUCUCGGCGCCGGCGGCCGUCACCUUCCGCGCCACCGCGUACUGCACUUUGAUGUUCCCAUCAUCAACGGGCGAGAGAUUAUUUCAGUCGAUUCGAAUGGGCCACUCACCGCAGCUCGUUCUAGCUCGGACGACGGGCCAGUGAUCUUUGUGGACGUAGAUAUGGACGGGAGCUUCUUGACGGACCAUGAUAUUCCUGGCGAACCAUUUGAAAGCAUGGACCAACUCAUCCACGCGGCCAGUGUCCACUUGCUCGUCGCCUCCUGCUGUGAUCUGUCUCGGUAUGCCCCUCCCGAUGCCUUCAUCGUCAGUUUUCUUUUUGCGAUCUACUCGAAAUCGAGUUGUUUUGCGAAUCGAUAUAUGGGGAUUGAUUGCUUUGGGAAGCGCGGCUGGAGGGUUGUCGCAUAGAUCCCUCUGUAUUUCUAUCCAUGUUGUAAGGCCCCAGUAGAUGAUGACAGAUCUGCCCGCUUUUUUGGCUGGCCAUAGCACGAUGAUAAUAUGUAAAUCCAUCUCCUAAGAUGUUAUCCAUCUCCCAAGAAAUAUUAAUCGUUCUUCUGCUAACUGAACCUGCUUGUUCCACUUCAGAUAUGAGGGAGGCACUGCAUCUUCACAGAUGCCUGUUUCAGAACUCCAGCAUCUCCACUAUGAAGCAACCUGUGAUCAGCCGUAUGACCACUACGCCUCCUCUGUGUUAUUUAUUCCUAGUCUACUUGAUACCCAAUUGAUUUGUUUAUCGGUGUAUGCUUGAUUGGGCGCCUAGGGGGUUCUCGUACAGAGUUAUGAUUGGAUUUCUCUCUGGUAGAUUAGGAGCUACCUGUAUAUUUCUGGCAUCUCUAUAAGUUUUUAUAAGGAUUUUUUAUCUAUUUACUUGGCCAUUGCGCAAUGUUAAUAUGAAUUAUUCAGUCAUCCCCCAAAACCAUUUGUUGUUGUGCUGACCUUGCCUGCUUGUUUCCAUUCAGCUGCGAGGCGGAGGAUCAUGCGCCUGCAUGCUCACAAACACCACCUUGGUGAAUAUGCCCCACUUUCACUUUGAAUUUAUUGAUUUUCUAUUACUAGGGCUUGGCAGUGAAGUCAGUGUUUUGCAACAGGAAGCGGAAGAAAGUAGAUUUAUGGCAUGGACAGGACCUCUCAUCCUCGAAGGACUUGCUCAACACUAUAACAUUGCAGGAAUCAUCCACUGCGACUUCCUCGUCCUCUGUGCAGAUGCAGGCUCAGCCUUGGUGCUGUCUUUCAUCAUCACCUAUUUGGACAUUGGCCCAGUUUGAUUGGGGAAUCAUAUUUUUCACCAGGGUCGACCUGAAGGGUUCUUUCCACACAAAUCCUCAUGUGGGUGGGUCAUUUCAGAGCUUACAGGAUGCUUACAAUGCUAUCGACCUUUAUCUAAAGGAACAUCAGGAUCCAACAAUGUAACCUUCCUGAACUUCAUUCUAGACUUCAUUGGUUUAUUCAUCUUGUUUUGUAUGUACACCUGCAGCUGAUUACGUUCAAACAGGGAGAUGUUGUGAAUCAGACAGGGCGAUCUUGUGACUUCCCUAUGUGAUUUAGUCCUUGAAAGAUAAUCACAAUUGAUACAUCCAUGGAUCAGGAAUAGAACGAGUUGACAGAAAAAAAAACAUCCUACGUUAUUUAUUAUUUUGUGCUUUGGGAGAAACAUUUUCUUAUGAUAUUUUGUGAGAGUUGUCUAGAUACUGAAUAAAUCUUAAGCACAGCUGAGCUUACCAAACUGCAUAUAGAUACUAUGCUGCCACUUUGUAUGUAGGUACAAUUUUAUUUGGAUUGUCUGGUACAACUUCCUUUCCUCGUGAACAAAACAAUGGUGAUAUCUUUUUAUAGUGCGCCAAGAACUCAUAGGCAUGCAAAUGUUCAGUUUUGUAUCUUGCUUUUGCUGAUUAUUACUGCCCCUAAGCUACCUUAGAGGUAACUUGGAAGCUGUUUGAUCCUACCGAAGACACAAACUGCUAGUUCACUCUAAACCUAUGUUGAGCUGAUUAAUGUCGACAUAUAAUACUCCCUCCGUAAAGAAAUAUAAGUGUUUAGGUCACUAAUAGAUCACUACUUCUAUUAGUGACCUAAACACUCUUAUAUUUCAUUACGGAGGGAGUACUUAAUAUCACUCCAUAUUCUCCUCUUCACUGAAAACUACUAAUCUUAUGCUAAUGCUCUGAUUUAAACUAGGUUCACUGGUGUUUCUCGACUGGAAAGGGUAGUAAGGCUAUCUCUUAACUAUCCUGAUGGCACAAGGAAGAAGCUUUUGGAAUCGCAACAAAUGGAUGAAAGGCGUGAUUGGAAGCGCCAGUUGGUUCAAACUUUGGUGGACAAGCAUAAUGAUUACCACCAUCUUUCAGGGGUUUGAUCUCUGCCCCUCUCUCCCGCACUCAUUUUUCUUUUCUUUUCUCCAAGGUUGCAUAACAGUUGGUUGCUGAUCAGAUUGAUGUUUCUUAAUUUCAGGAUCUUGCAUAUGAACUCAAAGAUGUUGUGUGCUUGAAAUCAGUUGCUGGGGGCAAUGGCCAUAGGUACUAUCAUAUCAAUUUGACUAUGAAGACUAAAGGAGCUGAUGAUUCUAACUGUGGUGGCGGAGAUCUUUUCUUUGCUGAGUUCAAAAUCAAGGGGGGAGAAUAUGUAGAACUGGUGGUCAGCUGUUUCUGCAUGGUUGAACCUACUGACAACGGUAUCGUGUACUCUUCUUUUGACCUACAUAUCUUUCAAAUAUCUCAUCACUUAUCCUUGAGCGCAUUUGGAAUAUCUCAAACUGGUCCUUGUGGCAACGUAAUAUCCACGUGCACAUGCUUUUUUCUUUCCCCUCUUAAUUGUCAGUCAUUCCCUGUGGUUGUGCUUUGUUGAUUUACUCGGCGGUUCACUGACAGUCUUGCCAAAAAUAAAUAAAGGUCAUUGCUAUGGUUGUGAUGUGAAGCACCCCAACAAUUCUGCUGCAUAUACUGGCGCCAAAGCUAGCUCUCAGUGUGUAUGUUCUCUGUUUGGUAAUAUGGGAUUGCCGGUCCGCGACGAAAGCGUACGUAUAAUGAUGACUUUAUUUGUUCCCACUUUGUUGCUCUGUUCAUAAUUAACUUCAAUGUCUGUACAGUUGGAAGAGGAGGAAAGAAGGGUAAGGCGUUUCUACGAGACCCAGGUAACGAAUGCCACUUCUUAUGCGGCAGCAUAGUACCAUUUGCAGCAACAUGAUGUUGGUUCCUUGGUUGAUUGUUCUUUUUGUUUAGGGUCUCGAUGAUCCGGAUUUCGUGGAGAAAGAGAGACCGAGGGCACAGAUACCAGUCAAACCAUUCAGCCCUGCUGAUUGUGUGCUUGAAUAUCGGGCCGUGCCAACUACGAGGGAAGACUAAGUUAAGUAGGGCGCUCAAGUGGAAGGCUAUGGAAUCCCUUUUGAACUUUCAUGUGACUGAAGGAACAUAGUACUGUACAGUAUGUUUUAGACCUUUAGUGUUAAGCUUGUCAGGCUGUAGGCUCAAGUAUGUUCUGUUGCUAAGACACCAAAAGGGAAAGGACGUUUGGCUUGAGAUGUUAGUGGUUGCUCAUCAGAAUUGGAUCCAGAGACAAUCUGAUUGGCUGUCUUUCAAAUUCGAAACCACUUGCUGCUUCUGUUUAGAUGUGAAUGGAUUUACAGGUCAAAGCGAGCACAAACCAAACAACCAUGUCGCUUCCUUCAAGUUUUACCAGCAGGCUGCAGGUUUUGGGAUGGAUGGAUUGGCUUCCUAACAAAAUUAGAGUACUCUCUUCAACUCACACUUGAAAGUUUAGAUCAUACUAUGAGGAAAAUACAUCAGGUGUUCGCUACAAAAUAAAUGCAACAUGGAACAUGUGUGGAAGAACUAAAAUUUUGGGGGUUGGGGAUGGGGGUGGGGGAUUAAAGAAAUCUCUUAUCAGAUUCAUCAGCCAACAAUUAACACACACACACACACACACACACACACACACACACAAUAGUACUAGUAGUCAAGAACUCUAUUCCCAAACACAUAUAUACAGAGAUACAUUAGCAGGUAUCUGAAUCUAAAGAGAAGAACUCGACACCACAAGAAGCACACACCAUUACAUAGUUCCAUUUAACCACUCAGCAAAAAACAACUAAGCAGGCAACAGCAAUCCAAGCUUCCAUGCUCGAUGCCAGGAGAACAGAGCUUCAAGCUGUACAUCUGGAAGGCAAGGCUGGUCCAUGGAGUGAUUCAGUCAGUCUCAUGGUCUGGGCGAGGGGUAUACCAGUCAGGGAACCUCCCCAUCCUUCUCAGCAGCCUCGUGUAAGGAGACUCCGGCAUCAGAGCCUCCUCAUCCUCGUCGAUCUCUUCCUGCGUUUUCGGCAGCCCAUCAGGGACGGGGAAAGGCCUCGGCUUCGCUGUUUGCCCCGGGGAGUUUGAUGGCGCUGAAUUGUGAGCUUUCUCGGCCAUCUUCUUCCGUAGGUCUGACCGGUGGUGGAUGCUGCUUAUGAGGUACCUUGGGUCUGACCGCGAGUCCUUCACCAUCCUUGAGAUUUCUUCUUGCGGUAGCUCUUGCUGGGAAAUGGGGAAGAGUGGUUAGUUGGAUUGGAUCGCCGCAAGUAGCACGCAAAGGUACUAAAUAUCUUGCAGAGAGUGCAGCAUGCUCAUGAUGAAUUUGGUAAUGUUGAUUUAUGAAAAGAUGAUUUUGGCUGCGGUGCCGGUGCAUACCUCGAGUUUGUUGAGUUCAAAAUAGGCAUCCCAGCAGCUGCAGCAAUCAUCGCCUUCAAGGGUCGUGCAAUAAUCUGUACCCAGAUAAGAUGAACCACUGUUAGAAUUCUUUUAGAUCCAAUUAACACUGUUCAAAUUCAGAGUCGGCAACUUCUUAUACAGCUUAAUCUGUUAUGAAAUGCAAUUGUUAGAACUCUGAUCGGCACGCACACACAAAACUUAAAUUGGAGCGCUGACUGUAAAUGACACAAUUCACAUCUCAGGCUAACUAAUUAAUAUGAAACUAUUUAGCUGCCGCCGUUAGCACUCUAUAUAUUUGACUUUGUUACAUACUGCUUUGUUACCACCAUGAAAUUAGCACUCGAAUUUACACCAAACCAAACAAGCUUUUAACAGUAAGGUCUCAAAAUUAAAUGAACACGCGAAACGCUAAACAAGCAAGCAACAGAACCGAAACCAGAUCUAAGCCAGAAGUCUAAACUAAACCAUUACUAGCCGGCUUUAACCUUGACAGGAAGCCGCAUCACACUCACAUGCACUAAGAAAUUCAGAGAAAAAUAAUUAAUUAGAAACUCGUGCCCUACUCAAAGAGGAAUUAGAGGGGAUACCUGUGAUGUGGUCCUUGGUGCGCUGGACGAGAGGCUUCUCCUGCUUGAAGAACUCGUCGAGGAUGCUGCGGCUGGAGCUGAAGGGCUCCCGCUUGGGGAUCGAGCCGUAGUCCCGCAGCACGCGCACCGCCACCGAGCGCCGCCCGGGCGUGGCCGAGGUGGCGGUGGCGGGGUACGCGGGCGUCGUCGCCGUCGCCGGCGACAGCGGCCGGAGAGCGGUGGAUGAGAGCAUUUUGGUGUUUGGUCCUUGUCUCGUCGCUUUUACUUCGGUGGGUUUGCGGGGAGUGGAUUGGCUCGAAGUUUCUAUAUACAGGGGAAGAGUAGAACGGAUAAGGAUCGGCUCUGAACCUGAGAUCUAUGUGUCACAGGAAAUAUUAUUGUAUUUUUACCCCUUUUGCGAUAUGACCACCUAAUAUACUCCCUCCGUUUCUUUUUACUCCGCGUAUAAGUUUUGGUCAAAGUCAAACUACACAAAGUUUGACCAAAUUCAUAUUAAAAAAUAUGAACAUCUACAAUACUUAAACUAUAUAAUAUGAAAAUACAUUUCAUGGUGCAUCUGAAAAUCUUGAUUUCAUAUUGUGAAUGUUGAUAUUUCUUAAUAUAAAGUUAGUCAAACUAUGCAAAGCUUGACUUUGACCAAACCUUAUAUGCAGACUAAAAAGAAACGGAGGGAGUAUAAUUUUAGCACACACAUCCUUCGAGCAACUCUAGCAGAUGUGUCAUGUAUGGCCGAUCACCAUGAUAAUCGUUAGUAUGAUGAUCGGUAAAAAAAGGCAUUCUAACAGAAUCAUCUCAUGCGUUGCGAUCUUCAAAAUUAAUGGAGUCAUCUUCAAAAACCUCGUAGUUGACUGUGGAGGCCCGAUUUGCAGUGUGCUCCAUCGCCGACUAUCAGCGUGAGAUGGAAGUUUUCAUCUUCUUUAUCCUCGCACCACAACCGGAUUUGAAGCUCUGUGCCGCCCUUACAUGCACCAUCGCGCAUAGAUAAUCACCAACGAGAGACGUGACGCAUCACCGGCCCUAUUAAUAGCACGACCGCUCCCUUGGAUUCCCAUGACGGGCUGUCGGACGGACGCCACAAGGCAUCACCUCCUCGCCAUACCGGCUAUAAAAGCCCGGUGGCAAGGCAUCCCAAUCACCAACACCCUAGCAAGCUCCUCCACUCUUCCCAGCAAUGUCGUCGUGUUGGGGUGCAACAAGUUGGUUGAAUGUGUUGUCGGAUGCGAACCUUCCGCCUAGGCAUCGCGCACCGAUGGCGCGAACUCUCUCCGCACCACACUAGCCUCGGCAGUCGCCGCAUCCUCUCCCACGGUGUGCAUGGCGCUGGUGGCUCCCACGACGAUGGACACAAGGGAUCUAUCACAGGGUUUUUUUGCCGGAAAAAAAGUCGGCAAGCUAUGUCCAGUACGGUGCAACACCUAAAAGCAAAUCCGGUGAAGAAGAAUGAGAUGGAGGCAAUUAGCAAGUAGUUGUGUCGCGGGAAGGUACACCUAGCACUCGAGAAAAAUUCAUACCUAGCCAAGCCAGUCUACCCAUCGGGGCCCGAGGAGAGAACACUAGAAAGAAAAUUUGUGACGCGGCAUUAUCACGUGUAACUCACGACCAAGGUCCACAUGAUAGAUCACGAAUGGGAUAAAAACUUGCAAACCAAAUGAGGGCAAGAACCCGCAAAACUCUCACUAAAUGGAGUAACCCGGAUGAAAAACUGUUAAAUAAGAUAAUUUAUGUAAAAAUGUCAAAAAAGGAAUAAAAACUCAAAUUCACUAUAUAUAUCUGUUGGUGAUUAUUUUAUGGGAAUGCCCUUUUCUUUUCAUGGUGGUGAUGCAAGAUUUGCAAAACUGCAGUUUUGUAGGGAGUCGAAUGUCGAAUGCCGAGAUUUUGCCGAUCGCUGUCACCUGUCAGCAAUCGACUCCCCCGGCGAUAGAAAUAUCUCCAGGCGCAGGUAGACAAUAUCCCAGCUGAUUUACACUAGACGACUACACGUAGACCUUCCCAGGGCAAGUGUAUCCGGUAUUGGACGUGUUAUCUCGUCCAGUUGGCAAGUGCGACAUGCAGCCACCUCUGUCUUUACGUCCAAGUGCAGAAACGGCGGGUAUCCGAUCCGUCGAUUUCAAUACAGGAAGCUGGCUAUAGCGUGCGGAUGGAUCGAUGGGCGACAAACCGCGGGCGCCGAUUACCACUCUCCGAGAGUAGCCGUGCUCCAUCCGCGGGAGAACUCUUCUCCCGUGGAUAAUGGUGAGCGCGCCGACGGAACGGAAGCACCGGCCUCGAUGAGGGAGUCCACGGAACCAGUUGGAAAAUCCAUCCACGGUUUGCAAGGCCUACGCAUAUUCGUAGAUCAUCAAUUCGAUCAAUGUAAUAAAUUGUAUAUAUCACAAUAGUCAUAGGGGAACGUUUAUAUUUAUCCGACUGAUUUCCGACGAUGCGUAAGCCGCCCGCUGCACCGUCCGAUUAGUAGAUCAUCUCAUUCAGUCGUGUGUUGGUACAAAGCGUACACGGUGCGUUGCAUGUGGCUGGUCCCCACAAGAGGCUAUCGUGAUUCUUUUUGACCUUUUUUAUUCCUUUUCACACGAUGUGCUAGGGUAGCUUGGUGCACUUUUACUACUGCUCACAGCCUCACAUAAGUGCAGACGGCUGCACUUCAACAGCGUUGCUACAAGGUCGUCUCGGUGCCAUGCCGCGUUAGUUGCCGGCGAUGUGCUAGGACAACGGAGCGCCGAUGGGCUGCCAUUCACGGCCUCUAGUGCAUGCGUCGACGGCUGCUGCAAUGGAGCAUCGCCGCACCGCCGACGAAGCAUCGUCGCUGCUGCAACGGAGCAUCGUUGGGUCGCCGAAGCAUCGUCGGUGUUGGAAUGGAGCAUCUUCGAGCCACCUAAGCAUCGCCGGUACUGCAACGGAGCAUCGCCAGGCUGACGGAGCAUCUUCGAGCCACAUGAGCAUCGUCGAUAUUGCAGUGAAGCCUCGUCGCUGUUGGAACGGAGCAUCUUCGAGCCGCCUGAGCAUCGUCAGUACUGCAACGGAGCAUCGCCAGGCUGCCAGAGCAUCAUCAGUGCUACAACGGAGCANNNNNNNNNNNNNNNNNNNNNNNNNNNNNNNNNNNNNNNNNNNNNNNNNNNNNNNNNNNNNNNNNNNNNNNNNNNNNNNNNNNNNNNNNNNNNNNNNNNNNNNNNNNNNNNNNNNNNNNNNNNNNNNNNNNNNNNNNNNNNNNNNNNNNNNNNNNNNNNNNNNNNNNNNNNNNNNNNNNNNNNNNNNNNNNNNNNNNNNNNNNNNNNNNNNNNNNNNNNNNNNNNNNNNNNNNNNNNNNNNNNNNNNNNNNNNNNNNNNNNNNNNNNNNNNNNNNNNNNNNNNNNNNNNNNNNNNNNNNNNNNNNNNNNNNNNNNNNNNNNNNNNNNNNNNNNNNNNNNNNNNNNNNNNNNNNNNNNNNNNNNNNNNNNNNNNNNNNNNNNNNNNNNNNNNNNNNNNNNNNNNNNNNNNNNNNNNNNNNNNNNNNNNNNNNNNNNNNNNNNNNNNNNNNNNNNNNNNNNNNNNNNNNNNNNNNNNNNNNNNNNNNNNNNNNNNNNNNNNNNNNNNNNNNNNNNNNNNNNNNNNNNNNNNNNNNNNNNNNNNNNNNNNNNNNNNNNNNNNNNNNNNNNNNNNNNNNNNNNNNNNNNNNNNNNNNNNNNNNNNNNNNNNNNNNNNNNNNNNNNNNNNNNNNNNNNNNNNNNNNNNNNNNNNNNNNNNNNNNNNNNNNNNNNNNNNNNNNNNNNNNNNNNNNNNNNNNNNNNNNNNNNNNNNNNNNNNNNNNNNNNNNNNNNNNNNNNNNNNNNNNNNNNNNNNNNNNNNNNNNNNNNNNNNNNNNNNNNNNNNNNNNNNNNNNNNNNNNNNNNNNNNNNNNNNNNNNNNNNNNNNNNNNNNNNNNNNNNNNNNNNNNNNNNNNNNNNNNNNNNNNNNNNNNNNNNNNNNNNNNNNNNNNNNNNNNNNNNNNNNNNNNNNNNNNNNNNNNNNNNNNNNNNNNNNNNNNNNNNNNNNNNNNNNNNNNNNNNNNNNNNNNNNNNNNNNNNNNNNNNNNNNNNNNNNNNNNNNNNNNNNNNNNNNNNNNNNNNNNNNNNNNNNNNNNNNNNNNNNNNNNNNNNNNNNNNNNNNNNNNNNNNNNNNNNNNNNNNNNNNNNNNNNNNNNNNNNNNNNNNNNNNNNNNNNNNNNNNNNNNNNNNNNNNNNNNNNNNNNNNNNNNNNNNNNNNNNNNNNNNNNNNNNNNNNNNNNNNNNNNNNNNNNNNNNNNNNNNNNNNNNNNNNNNNNNNNNNNNNNNNNNNNNNNNNNNNNNNNNNNNNNNNNNNNNNNNNNNNNNNNNNNNNNNNNNNNNNNNNNNNNNNNNNNNNNNNNNNNNNNNNNNNNNNNNNNNNNNNNNNNNNNNNNNNNNNNNNNNNNNNNNNNNNNNNNNNNNNNNNNNCGUCAGUACUGCAACGGAGCAUCGCCAGGCCGCCGGAGCAUCAUCAGUGCUACAACGGAGCAUCUUCGAGCCACCUGAGCAUCAUCGAUACUGUAGCGGAGCCUAGUUGGUGCUGCAACGGAGUAUCUUUGAGCCGCCUGAGCAUCGUCGGUACUGCAAUUAAGCAUCAUCGGUGCUGCAACGGAGCAUCUUCGAGCCGCCUGAGCAUCGUCAGGCCACCGGAGCAUCGUCAGUGCUACAAUGGAACAUCUUCGAGCCACCUGAGCAUCGUCGAUAUUGUAGCGGAGCCUAGUUGGUGCUGCAACGGAGUAUCUUUGAGCCGCCUGAGCAUUGUCGGUACUGCAAUUAAGCAUCGUCGGUGCUGCAAUGGAGCAUCUUUGAGCCGCCUAAGCAUCGUUGGUACUACAUCGGAGCAUCACCAGUGCUGCAUCGGAGCAUUGUCGAGCCGUCGGAGCAUCGUCGGUGCUGCAAUGGAGCAUCUUCUAGCCGCCUGAGCAUCGAUACUACAAAGGAGCAUCAUCGGUGCUGCAACGAAGCAUCGUCCCGCUACCGGAACCUCGGGUGCUGCAAUGGGGCGUUGUCGGGCCGCUGGAGCAUCACCUGUGCUACAAUGGAGUAUCACCAAUGUUGCAAUGGAGCAUUGCUGGGCCGCCAGAGCAUUGCCGAUGCUGCAACAGAGCAUCGUCGGGCCACCAGAACCUCACGGGUGCUGCAAUGGAGCGUUGUCGCGCCGCCGGAGCAUCUCCGAUGCUUCAAGGGAUGGUCACAACAGUGUCGUUGCUGGUGCUGCAAUCCCGGAGCUUGCUGGUACUGUUGCCAUGGCCGGUCCAUGGCGAGCUCGUCGAUGUUGCCGUGAGAUGUUCGGCGAGCAUUGCGGGUGGUUUAAGCAAAAAUUGGUGCUGCAACUUGGCAACCUAGGAUUCUCCUCAAAGCUAUGCAUGCCAUGCAAGAAGCGAGAGUAUCCAUUGUACGUACCGGUGGCUGGAGUGAUUGCUUAUUGUGAUGACGUGGUCAGGGUAUAAGAGGGCAUGGGCGUACUGUGAAUUGCACGCGUCAGGGGAUCACGCUGCCCAAAUCAACGGCUGUCAAGCCGACUGAUCUUUUCUUAAGAUAAGCCGGAUGACGCCUAGCAGUCCCCAUAGUCAUAUCAUUGAAAAAUAUAACAUUUGAAAUUUCUAAUGGCAUGAUUUUUAGGGGGGGGGGAAUCUAUUUUAACCAACUAAUUUCACACAGAAAUAAGUCGGGCCGCAUGCUUGCCAUGUGUAUGCAGUCCCCACGUGCAUGCUCUCUUUACCUCCCAUAAUCAUUUUCUUCCAUUUCUUUCUCGCUUUACUCCUCGUCGUUAUCUUCCCCCGAAGCUUCUCGGCUUUGCCUCUAUCUCUAGACCCGCAACAACAUUUGUACCUCCUAAAUCUCGCCUUCGGGAUUCCUUCCUCCCUUGCACCCAGCGCCAAAAGCCUCACCCCUCCCACCCCGGUUGGCGGAGCUCGCCAUACACUACUCCGAGCCUGCAAAAGAUGACAAAUGAUGCACGAAAGGAGAUCUUGCUGUUGCGAGGCGACAGUCCCUACGUUGGUACCUGCAGACCAAACAAGAUAGUGUAGCACUUUCGCAGAAGUAUCCCAGCGAGUAAUCGUCCAAAAAAUCAGCGGUGGGGAGUAUUUAUGGAGGCAUUUCUGUCACACAUAAGGUGUCACAGUUCUUGUGUGAAGUACUGCUUGAGCUUCUGCAAAUCCUAUUACUGAUCAGGGUAAACGAUAAACUAAAUAUGCUAGUGAAGAGGAUUUAAAAAGUGUCUACUGGAUAACUAACAAAAGUAAAUAACAAAACUUAAAAUGUAAAUGGUGUUUCCUGCAAUGAAGAGAUUAGGUGCGAAGAGAUUUCAGUUCAUGGUAAGAAUAUAUGAAUUGUGCCAGUGUGACGGUAAUCCAAGUUACCUUGUAUUGUAAUCAUAGUAUUUGAUAUAAACUUUCUGUAGGCGGUUCUCCCUAGAGUCAUGAAACUCCUUCACUAGGGGUUACAUUUCAUUCUAUGAUCCUACUUCUCCAUUGCCACAAAGUGACCAUUUACAUAAUUAAGGUCAUAAGACUGGAACCAAACAUUAAAUUCAUUGGAUCGCCAUUAUCUCAUAUUGUCUUCGGUUCUCGUAGAUAUCUCCACAUGUCACGCCAAAGGUCACAAAGUUCCUAAAUAAUAUGUGUUACCUGUGUAGAUCUUGAUAUCAUGUUGCAUGGGCCCUUAAAUUGGACAACACGCAUAGGGUUCACCACAGUAUAACAACAUACUAAAUAGAUCAUACUACUAUGAAUUCAAAUGACGACAUGAUAGGCACAUAUCAAUCUUACCACUCACCUACAUCUCACACACCUAGGGGAAUUACUCACACAUCAUAACAAGGGAAUCAAUCACAACAGAGAGAAAAACCAUGAAAACCAUAUCGAUAAUAUUGAGGGAAUCCACAAUGAGAUGAAAUGGCACUCAAAUAGUCUUGAUCUGAGAUGAGCUGGAGUAGAGAUUACAAGCUCCAAUCGCUCUUACAAUAGUGAAGGAUAUGAUGACGAUGAUGGAGAUGAAAGGACCCAAAAAAACUACGAUGAUCUUCUCCUCUCCUGUUCUGGAUGGUGUGGCGGCGGCUAGGGUUCUCUUCUCCUCGUGGUCCAUUCAUGAAAGUUGCUUGUAUAGACAAAGAGGGGCCGUGGGCAUUCCAAACGACCGCUCAAACGAGCACGUGCGGUCGUAUGAAACAUCGUCUUUCACUCUGGUGCGCCUGUUGACAGUGCUCUCUUCAAGAAAGUUGCUCCAAUUGGCUUGAUUUGCUGCAAUCUCCUUUGGUUUCCUUCCAAAUGGGAUAUUUCCUGCCAUCCAUAGGACAAAGUAAAUUUUCCUUUAUUUUGUUGGAUUAGCAUUAGAAAUAUAAGAAUGACAAAAAUCCAAUGAAACCAAAUGGAAAUCACUAUGAAAAACAUCACAAAUUCUCGAGCCAUCAACUCCCCCAAGCUUAAGAUUUGCUCGUCCCCGAGCAAACAAGAAAUCAAGAGAGUGAAAAGGAGCUUGGUCGAAUGGAAAGAACUUUACUGGCUCGAGAAAAUACAUCAUAUUCGUCCUCUCUUAUCCUGCAAGAUCAUUCAAGGAAGUAUUUGCAAUUGAAUAGCUGCACCUAAACUUGUUGCCUUACCGCGUAUAGUCUCAUACCAUUAGUUAUAAUUUCUCAAAGCAAGUUUUUCCUCGCUAACCAAGUGUUUAGGCAAAUGAAGGUGUUCAUCGAUUAGAUGGAUAUUCAACUUAAGUUCAUUCAUCAAAAUGCAUUUAGAAGGUUUGGAGAUCAAAGAUGGCAAAGUACUCAAGUUUUUCAUUAACACCCACUAAGGCCUCCUAGUCAUGGCUCUCAGACACUUCUCUUAAUUAUUGUUCUUCGGGAUUUCAACUCUCGGUGACGGGGUUAUGCCAGAAUUCACUAUAUGCAAUUGGGUUCCGUCUUGGCUUAAUUUCAUGCACUAUGGAUCAAGAAUGCUUGUCUCUUUCGAGUUCAAUAAUCAGUGAUUUUAUUUACCACUUACACACUCCCUUGGGGAAGGUCUAUAAUUUACCACACAACCCCCAAGUUUGUGACGUAGUUGCAGUUACGCGAAUUAUCUCGACAUAUAGCAACAGGACGUAAAGCCAGCCUAAGGCUGGAGCUCCACAAUUUAAGUAUCAUGAAUAAAUUUUGGCAUAACCUCAACCACUUCAAAUAUUCAUGCCUCCAAAUAACUUCAUCAACAGGUGUCAUAAAGUCAAUCUGAAUCAGCUUGUGGAGUUGAAUUGCUUAAGUACUCAUUCUUUUCGAAAUUUCCUGCCCUAUAAAAUUUCUAGGUUUUCAUUGAAACAAAAACAAGCUUUCCCACAAGGUUUGACUAGCAAAAUCUGAAAUUCGGAGUUAUGACUAGAUGAUAUUCAACUAACACGGGGAACUAAUUCAAGUGCAACCAGUCAACUGAAAAUUCUUUCUCAAAUAAUAUUGCGAGACAAGGGAUUAUGUAUAUGUUAUACCUUCCUGCGCUGGCUCAUUCUUCCCCUCUAUCAAGUCCCAAUUCAUUUUCUUUAUUUCCUCUUGCUAGGUGAGAACAAACUUGUAGGCUCAAAGAAAACAUAUGAAAAGAACUACAACAAGGCAAGACCAAAGUGUGCUCCUCAUUUUAUUAUGCAAACUGAAGAUAAACAUUCAACAUAUAAAAACAAAUAAAAGAAAAAUAAGUAUGCAUGCAUGGAUAACUAGGGGAUGAGCUCCCCCAAGCUUAGGCUCUUGGCCUACUCUCUAGUCCAUGUGCUCGUCAUCGUUGCCCCCUGGCCAAAGUGUGGCCACUGGAAGGAUAGGCCACCAGAGGACGGACCUUCUGCUCCAGGAUGUGGCUGCCAAAAAGAAAAGAGGGACUGCAUGUUCCCACUUAGCAGGUUAAUGUUGUUGUUGGCCUCACGGAGGUCUAUACGGAUCCCUCAUACCUACUGCUGCAGCUGCUGAAACUCAACCCUGGGCACAUAGUCUUGUGGCUGCCCAAAGUGAAUCUGUGGUGCAUAUUGUGGUGCAGGUUGUUGUGGAAAGUUGGGUGCGUGCUGAGGGGUGUUGCCCCAUGCAUCCCAACCAUGGGCAAGGCCUACUGCUAUAGCCUCCCACUCUGGACUGGGUUCUGGUUGAGUAAUGUUCCCGAAACCAGCCUCGUGGCGGUACUCGUUGAUCUGGUCAACAAAGAGUACCCACAUAUCACACGUAGAAACAGUAAAUGCUUGCGGCAAGGGCAAGCGAACAUCAACAGUUUGCGUGUUAGGUAGGGAGCAUUUCUAGCAUGCUCCCCUUGCACGGGCACAAUGAAGUGAGUGUUGAUCAUAAUCCUACUGUUGAGUGUUGUAGGACAUAGGACAUGCUGCAUAGAAUCAAGAUCGAGGCUGAAGUGCUCGGCAAGCCGAGACACUAUGCCUCCCACAAUAAUAGUCCCCCUCCACUGCAUGUGCUUCCUACCGAGGUGACGCAUAAGAAAAGCUCCCAAGUUAGGCUUGGGGUGGAGUCGGGGUGGAGUGUUGCAUGGAAAACACACAAGUCAUAGCUCAACAUGCCCCAAGGUUCUCCCUACCAAAAAUAGUGUUGGCAAUGAAAAUCAAGAAGUGCGAAUGGCGGGGUUUUGGAUGCUCGAUACCUUCUUCCUGGAGAGGUCAUGUUCAUCCUUGACGGAGAUGAGUUCCCAUGAACCCAACACGUCAGCAACCAGCGUGCCCCUAGUGUCGAGAACUCCGUCGUUCUCAAAAUCGAAGGCACUAUAGAACUACUCCAGCGUCAUGGUGCGCUGGACUCCUUCGAGCAUGAAUGAGCAGCUCGAUGCCACCCUCGAGUCAUCCAGUGUGUGGGAGAAGGUGGAGAUGAGCUCCACGGUGAUGUUGCGGUACAUGAAGUAAUGGAAGUUACUGAAAACUCCCAUCCCAAUGAUGUUCACAAGCAAUGCAAAGUCAUUGUGAAGCCCUUGGGACUGCAAGAACGCGUCACACUUCCACUUCGUGGGGGUCAUCCCCUGGUUGUUCACGCGUUGGAAGUCCUUGUUCACAGCAGCACAAAGUUCAUCUCCCUCGUUCCGGGCACACUAAGAGCGUGAUCCCAUGGCCUUCUUCCCUGCGGCAAUCACCAAUCACAUCAUUUUCUACACACAACAAAAAUAACAACAGAAAAAAUGUAAGUUUAACAUGGGGAUCGAGUUAUAAUACUACCUAAGAUCGACUCUAAUCUAUUACUUUGAAUCCUAACGCACAAAUCGACUAGAAAUCGAAAAUAUUAUGCAUCUCAUCUAGGACAUGAACAUUGAUGAAACCAGCACCAAAACUUGCAAAUAAACCAUGGAUCAGAGGAGAAACUCACCGAGGAUGAAGAUGCACGGAUCAAACGAAUGAAAUCCACGAAGAAACAGAGGUUUUGGAGGAUUUUUGUUAGGGUUUGAGAGAGAGAGAGAGAAAGAGAGAGAGAGAGAUGUUAGAGCUUUGGGCGUUGGGAGGAAGAAGAAAACCUCCCAGCGUCGGCGGCUCAGAUUUAUGAAAAUUCAGACAAAACGGGCGCUCAUAUGGGCGCAGACGUCCGUAUGGAACGCCGUUUCACGUUCAAAUCUGCCGAUCUAGGGUUUACAUACCUGAAACGGGCGCUCAAACGGGCAUAGCGCUUGUUUAAAACGUCGUCGUCAAACCUGUUUAUCCGAAAUUGCACCGUGUAGAGGGCGAAACGAGUGCUCGACUAAUCGCUAGCGCUCAUUUGGAAGGCCGUUGUUCGCUCUGUUCCCACGGACGCUCCCAGUUGAAGAACCAAACGACCACACAAGAUGGCACUUGCCCUCAUUCAGAACGAUGUCUUUGGCUCUGUGAGUUUCGGUUGAUUUUGGCGAGAGUGUCAUACGACCACGCAAACAGACGCAUGCAGUCGUAUGAAACACCGUCGAUCUCCCUAUUCUUUUCUGCAUUUCUUCUGAACUUUCAUGCGACCACACACAUGGGCAGCAUCGCCCGUAUCAAGUGCCGUUGAUCUCCUCUGCUGCUUGCCUCCUUUGUUUCUUUUCCCUGUUCCUCUUUUCAACACUUCUCCUUAAACAAAAAGGUUAAAAAUAAUUUUUUCGAGGGAGUUUCAUCAGUUCACUUAUAAGAGCAAAAUAUUAACUACUGCAAAGAUAAAAUUCUACCGAAAAAUAUAAUGGGCUGCCUCCCAUAAAGCGUUGGUUUUUAGGUUGCUUAGCUGAACCUCUCACCUCGGUAUUUUAUCUGUUGGGGAACGUAGUAAUUUCAAAAAAAAUCCUACGCACACGCAAGAUCAUGGUGAUGCAUAGCAACGAGAGGGGAUAGUGUUGUCUACGUACCAUCGUAGACCGAAGCGGAAGCGUUGACGCAACGUAGAGGAAGUAGUCGUACGUCUUCCCGAUCCGACCGAUCCAAGCACCGAUACUCCGGCACCUCCGAGUUCUUGGCACACGUUCAGCUCGAUGACGAUCCCCGGGCUCCGAUCCAGCAAAGCGUCGGGGAGGAGUUCCGCCAGCACGACGGCGUGGUGACGAUCUUGAUGUUCUACCGUCGCAGGGCUUCGCCUAAGCACUGCUACAAUAUGACCGAGGUGGAAUAUGAUGGAGGGGGGCACCGCAUACGGCUAAGGAACAAUCACGAAGAUCAACUUGUGUGUCUAUGGGGUGCCCCCUGCCCCCGUAUAUAAAGGAGUGGAGGAGGGGAGGGCCGGCCCUCUCUAUGGCGCGCCCUAGGGGAGUCCUACUCCCACCGGGAGUAGGAUUCCCCUUUUCCUAGUACAACUAGGAGUCCUUCCAAGUAGUAGGAGUAGGAGACAAGGAAGGGGAAGAGGGAAGAGAAGGAAGGAGGGGGCGCCGCCCCUCCCCCUAGUCCAAUUCGGACUAGUCAAUGGGGGGGCGCGGCCUGCCUCUCCCUCUCCCCUAAAGCCCAAUAAGGCCCAUAUACUUCUUCCCCCGUAUUCCCGUAACUCCCCGGUACUCCGAAAAAUACCCGAAUCACUCGGAACCUUUCCGAUGUCCGAAUAUAGUCGUCCAAUAUAUCAAUCUUUACGUCUCGACCAUUUCGAGACUCCUCGUCAUGUCCCCGAUCUCAUCCGGGACUCCCAACUCCUUCGGUACAUCAAAACUCAUAAACUCAUAAUAUAAUUGUCAUUGAAACCUUAAGCGUGCGGACCCUACGGGUUCGAUAACAAUGUAGACAUGACCGAGACACAUCUCCGGUCAAUAACCAAUAGCGGAACCUGGAUGCUCAUAUUGGCUCCCACAUAUUCUACGAAGAUCUUUACCGGUCAGACCGCAUAACAACAUACGUUGUUCCCUUUGUCAUCGGUAUGUUACUUGCCUGAGAUUCGAUCGUCGGUAUCUCAAUACCUAGUUCAAUCUCAUUACCGGCAAGUCUCUUUACUCGUUCUGUAAUACAUCAUCUCGCAACUAACUCAUUAGUUGCAAUGCUUGCAAGGCUUAUGUGAUGUGCAUUACCGAGAGGGCCCAGAGAUACCUCUCCGACAAUCGGAGUGACAAAUCCUAAUCUCGAAAUACGCCAACCCAACAUGUACCUUUGGAGACACCUGUAGAGCUCCUUUAUAAUCACCCAGUUACGUUGUGACAUUUGGUAGCACACAAAGUGUUCCUCCGGCAAACGGGAGUUGCAUAAUCUCAUAGUCAUAGGAACAUGUAUAAGUUAUGAAGAAAGCAAUAGUUGUUGGGUUACGUAGUAAUUUUAAAAAAUUUCCUACGCACACGCAAGAUCAUGGUGAUGCAUAUCAACGAGAGGGGAGAGAAUGAUCUACGUACCCUUGUAGAUCGACAACGGAAGCGUUGACACAACGUAGAGGAAGUAGUCGUACGUCUUCCCGAUCCGACCGAUCCAAGCACCGUUACUCCGGCACCUCCGAGUUCUUAGCACACGUACAGCUCGAUGACGAUCCCCGGACUCCGAUCCAGCAAAGCGUCGGGGAAGAGUUCCGUCAGCACGACGGCGUGGUGACGAUCUUGAUGUUCUACCGUCGCAGGGCUUCGCCUAAGCACCGCUACAAUAUGACCGAGGUGGAAUAUGGUGGAGGGGGGCACCGCACACGGCUAAGGAACGAUCACGAGGAUCAACUUGUGUGUCUAUGGGGUGCCCCUUGCCUCAGUAUAUAAAGGAUGGAGGAGGAGGAGGCCGGCCAAGGCUUGGUGCGGCCAGGAUGUGGAGUCCUACUAGGACUCCAAGUCCUAAUAGGAGUCCACCAAGAGGGGAGGAAGGGAGAAGGAAGUGGAGGAGAAGGAAAGGUGGCCGGCCCCCUUUUCCCUAGUCCAAUUCGGACCAGAGGGGAGGGGGGCGCAGCAGCCCCUUGGCCCUUUCUCCUCUUCCCACUAAAGCUCAUCAAGGCCCAUUGCUUCUCCCGUAACUACCCGGUACUCCGAAAAAUACCCGAAUCACUCGGAACCUUUCUGACGUCCGAAUAUAGUCGUCCAAUAUAUCGAUCUUUACGUCUCGACCAUUUCGAGACUCCACGUCAUGUCCCCGAUCUCAUCCGGGACUCCAAACUCCUUCGGUACAUCAAAACUCAUAAACUCAUAAUAUAACUGUCAUCGAAACCUUAAGCGUGCGGACCCUACGGUUCGAGAACAAUGUAGACAUGACCAAGACACGUCUCCGGUCAAUAACCAAUAGCGGGACCUGGAUGCCCAUAUUGGCUCCUACAUAUUCUACGAAGAUCUUUAUCGGUCAGACCGCAUAACAACAUACGUUGUUCCCUUUGUCAUCGGUAUGUUACUUGCCCGAGAUUCGAUCGUCGGUAUCCAAUACCUAGUUCAAUCUCGUUACCGGCAAGUCUCUUUACUCGUUCCGUAAUACAUCAUCUCACAACUAACAUAUUAGUUGUAAUGCUUGCAAGGCUUAUGUGAUGUGCAUUACCGAGAGGGCCCAGAGAUACCUCUCUGACAAUCGGAGUGACAAAUCCUAAUCUCGAAAUACGCCAACCCAACAUGUACCUUUGGAGACACCUGUAGUGCUCCUUUAUAAUCACCCAGUUACGUUGUGACGUUUGGUAGCACCCAAAGUGUUCCUCCGGCAAACGGAAGUUGCAUAAUCUCAUAGUCAUAGGAACAUGUAUAAGUCAUGAAGAAAGGAAUAGCAACAUACUAAACGACCGGGUGCUAAGCUAAUGGAAUGGGUCAUGUCAAUCAGAUCAUUCAACUAAUGAUGUGAUCUCGUUAAUCAAAUAACAACUCUUUUAUCCAUGGUUAGGAAACAUAACCAUCUUUGAUUAACGAGCUAGUCAAGUAGAGGCAUACUAGUGACACUCUGUUUGUCUAUGUAUUCACACAUGUAUUAUGUUUCCGGUUAAUACAAUUCUAGCAUGAAUAAUAAACAUUUAUCAUGAUAUAAGGAAAUAAAUAANNNNNNNNNNNNNNNNNNNNNNNNNNNNNNNNNNNNNNNNNNNNNNNNNNNNNNNNNNNNNNNNNNNNNNNNNNNNNNNNNNNNNNNNNNNNNNNNNNNNNNNNNNNNNNNNNNNNNNNNNNNNNNNNNNNNNNNNNNNNNNNNNNNNNNNNNNNNNNNNNNNNNNNNNNNNNNNNNNNNNNNUAUUUCCUUCAAUAGCAACAUACUAAACGAUCAAGUGCUAAGCUAACGGAAUGGGUCAAGUCAAUCACAUCAUUCUCCUAAUGAUGUGAUCCCAUUAAUCAAAUAACAACUCUUUGUCCAUGGUUAGGAAACAUAACCAUCUUUUAUUAACGAGCUAGUCAAGUAGAGGCAUACUAGUGACACUCUGUUUGUCUAUGUAUUCACACAUGUAUUAUGUUUCUGAUUAAUACAAUUCUAGCAUGAAUAAUAAACAUUUAUCAUGAUAUAAGGAAAUAAAUAAUAACUUUAUUAUUGCCUCUAGGGCAUAUUUCCAUCAGUCUCCCACUUACACUAGAGUCAAUAAUCUAUUUCACAUCACCAUGUGAUCUAACAUCAAUAGUUCACAUCUUUAUGUGGUUAACACCCAUAAUUCACAUCGAUAUGUGACCAACACCCAAAGAGUUUACUAGAGUCAGUAACCUAGUUCACAUCGCUAUGUGAUUAUCACCCAAAGAGUACUAAGGUGUGAUCAUGUUUUGCUUGUGAGAUAAUUUUAGUCAACGGGUCUGUCAUAAUCAGAUUCGUAAGUAUUUUGCAAAUUUCUAUGUCAACUAUGCUCUACACGGAGCUACUCUAGCUAAUUGCUCCCACUUUCAAUAUGUAUCCAGAUUGAGACUUAGAGUCAUCUAGAUCAGUGUCAAAAUUUGCAUCGACGUAACCUUUUAUGACGAACCUUUUUGUCACGUCCAUAAUCAAGAAACAUGUCCUUAUUCCACUAAGGAUAAUUUUGACUGUUGUCCAGUGAUCUACUCCUAGAUCAAUAUUGUACUCCCUUGCAAAAAUCAGUGUGGGGUAUACAAUAGAUCUGGUGCAUAGCAUGACAUACUUUAUAGAACCUAUGGCCAAGGCAUAGGGAAUGACUUUCAUUCUAUUUCUAUCUUCUGCCGUGGUUGGGUUUUGAGUCUUACUCAAUUUCACACUUGGUAACACAGGCAAGAACUGUUUCUUUGACUGUUUCAUUUUGAACUACUUCAAAAUCUUGUCAAGGUAUGUACUCAUUUGAAAAAACUUAUCAAGUGUUUUGAUUUAUCUCUAUAGAUCUUGAUGCUCAAUAUGUAAGCAGCUUCACCGAGGUCCUUCUUUGAAAAACUCCUUUCAAAUACUCCUUUAUGCUUUGCAGAAUAAUUCUACAUUAUUUCCGAUCAACAAUAUGUCAUUUACAUAUACUUAUCAGAAAUGUUGUAGUGCUCCCACUCACUUUCUUGUAAAUACAGGCUUCACCACAAGUCUUUAUAAAACUAUAUGCUUUGAUCAGCUUAUCAAAGCGUAUAUUCCAACUCCGAGAUACUUGCACCAGUCCAUAGAUGGAUCGCUGGAGCUUGCAUAUUUUGUUAACACCUUUAGGAUCGACAAAACCUUCUAGUUGCAUCAUAUACAACUCUUCUUUAAUAAAUCCAUUAAGGAAUGCAAUUUUGUUUAUCUAUUUGCCAGAUUUCAUAAAAUGCGGCAAUUGCUAACAUGAUUCAGACAGACUUAAGCAUAGAUACGAGUGAGAAACUCUCAUCGUAGUCAACACCUUGAACUUGUCGAAAACCUUUUGCGACAAUUCUAGCUUUGUAGAUAGUAACACUACUAUCAGCGUUCGUCUUCCUCUUGAAGAUCCAUUUAUUUUCUAUGGCUUGCCGAUCAUCAGGCAAAUCCAUCAAAGUCCAUACUUUGUUCUCAUACAUGGAUCAUAUCUCAGAUUUCAUGGCCUCAAACCAUUUCGCGGAAUCUGAGCUCAUCAUCGCUUCCUCAUAGUUCGCAAGUUCGUCGUGGUCUAGUAACAUGACUUCUAGAACAGGAUUAUCGUACCACUCUGGUGCGGAUCUCACUCUGGUUUACCUACGAGAUUCGAUAGUAACUUGAUCUGAAAUUACAUGAUCAUCAUCAUUAGCUUCCUCACUAAUUGGUGUAGUAGUCACAAGAACAGAUUUCUGUGAUGAACUACUUUCCAAUAAGGGAGAAGGUACAAUUACCUUAUCAAGUUUUCUACUUUCCUCCCACUCACUUCUUUCGAGAGAAACUCCUUCUCUGGAAAGGAUCCAUUCUCAGCAACGAAUAUCUUGCCUUCGGAUCUGUGAUAGAAGGUGUACCCAACAUUUUUUUUGGGUAUCCUAUGAAGACACACUUCUCCGAUUUGGGUUUGAGCUUAUCAGGAUGAAACUUUUUUUUCAUAUAAGCAUCGCAAUCCCAAACUUUAAGAAAUGACAACUUUGGUUUCUUGCCAAACCACAGUUCAUACGGUGUCGUCUCAACGGAUUUAGAUGGUGCCCUUUUUAACAUGAAUGCAGCUGUCUCUAAUGCAUAACCCCAAAACUAUAGUGGUAAAUCGGUAAGAAACAUCAUAGAUUGCACUAUAUCUAAUAAAGUACAGUUAUGACGUUCGGACACACCAUUAUGCUGUGGUGUUCCAGGUGGCGUGAGUAGUGAAACUAUUUCACAUUGUUUUAACUGAAGACCAAACUCGUAACUCAAAUAUUUGUCCCUGUAAUCAGAUCAUAGAAACUUUAUUUUCUUGUCACGAUGAUUUUCCACUUCACUCUGAAAUUCUUUGAACUUUUCAAAUGUUUCAGACUUAUGUUUCAUCAAGUAGAUAUACCCAUAUCUACUCAAAUCAUCUGUGAAGGUCAGAAAAUAAUGAUACCCGCCGCGAGCCUUAACACUCAUCGGAUCGUAUACAUUAGUAUGUAUUAUUUCCAAUAAGUCAGUUGCUCGCUCCAUUGUUCUGGAGAACGGAGUCUUAGUCAUUUUGCCCAUGAGGCAUGGUUCGCAAGCAUCAAGUGAUUCAUAAUCAAGUGAUUCCAAAAGCCCAUCAGCAUGGAGUUUCUUCAUGCGCUUUACACCAAUAUGACUUAAACGGCAGUGCCACAAAUAAGUUGCACUAUCAUUAUUAGCUUUGCAUCUUUUGGCUUCAAUAUUAUGAAUAUGUGUAUCACUACGAUCGAGAUCCAACAAACCAUUUUCGUUGGUGUGUAUGACCAUAGAAGGUUUUAUUCAUGUAAACAAAACAACAAUUUAUUCUCUUACUUAAAUAAAUAACCGUAUUGCAAUAAACAUGAUCAAAUCAUAUUCAUGCUCAAUGCAAACACCAAAUAACACUUAUUUAGGUUCAACACUAUUCCCGAAAGUAUAGGGAGUGUGCGAUGAUGAUCAUAUCAAUCUUGGAACCACUUCCAACACACAUCGUGACUUCACCCUUAACUAGUCUCUGUUCAUUCUGCAACUCCCGUUUUGAGUUACUAAUCUUAGCAACUGAACUAGUAUAAAAUACUGAGGGGUUGCUAUAAACACUAGUAAAGUACACAUCAAUAACAUGUAUAUCAAAUAUACUUAUGUUCACUUUGCCAUCCUUCUUAUCCGCCAAUCACUUGGGGUAGUUCUGCUUCCAGUGACCAGUCCCUUUGCAGUAGAAGCACUUAGUCUCAGGCUUAGGACCAGACUUGGGCUUCUUCACUUGAGCAGCAACUUGCUUGCUGUUCUUCUUGAAGUUCCCCUUUUCUUGAAACUAGUGAUCUUGUCAACCAUCAACACUUGAUGUUUUUCUUGAUUUCUACCUUCGCCGAUUUUAGCAUCGCAAAGUGCUUGGGAAUUGUUUUUGUCAUCCCUUGCAUAUUAUAGUUCAUCAUGAAGUUCUACUAACUUGGUGAUGGUGACUAGAGAAUUCUAUUAAUCACUAUUUUAUCUGGAAGAUCAACUCCCACUUGAUUCAAGUGAUUGUAGUACCCAGACAAUCUGAACACAUGCUCACUGCUUGAGCGAUUCUCCUCCAUCUUUUAGCUAUAGAACUUGUUGGAGACUUCAUAUCUCUCAACUCGGGCAUUUGCAUGAAAUAUUAACUCCAACUCCUGGAGCAUCUCAUAUGCUCCAUGACAUUCAAAACGUCGUUGAAGACCCGAUUCUAAGCCGUAAAGCAUGGCACAUUGAACUAUCGAGUAGUCAUCAGCUUUGCUCUGCCAGACGUUCUUAACGUCGUCAGUUGCAUCAGCAGCAGGCCUGGCACCUAGCGGUGCUUCUAGGACGUAAUUCUUCUGUGCAGCAAUGAGGAUAAUCCUCAAGUUACGGACCCAGUCCGUGUAAUUGCUACCAUCAUCUUUCAACUUUGCUUUCUCAAGGAACGCAUUAAAAUUCAACGGAACAACGGCACGGGCCAUCUAUCUACAAUCAAACAUAGACAAGCAAGAUACUAUCAGGUACUAAGUUCAUGAUAAAUUUAAGUUCAAUUAAUCAUAUUACUUAAGAACUCCCACUUAGAAAGACAUCCCUCUAAUCUUCUAAGUGAUCACGUGAUCCAAAUCAACUAAACCAUAACCGAUCAUCACGUGAAAUGGAGUAGUUUUAAAUGGUGAACAUCAAUAUGUUGAUCAUAUCUACUAUAUGAUUCACGCUCGACCUUUUGGUCUCAGUGUUCUGAGGCCAUAUCUGCAUAUGCUAGGCUCGUCAAGUUUAACCUGAGUAUUCUGCGUGUGCAAAACUAGCUUGCACCCGUUGUAUAUGGACGUAGAGCUUAUCACACCCGAUCAUCACGUGGUGUCUGGGCACGACGAACUUUGGCAACGGUGCAUACUCAGGGAGAACACUUUUAUCUUGAAAUUUAGUGAGAUAUCAUCUUAUAAUGCUACCGUCAAUCAAAGCAAGAUAAGAUGCAUAAAAGAUAAACAUCACAUGCAAUCAAUAUAAGUGAUAUGAGAUGGCCAUCAUCAUCUUGUGCUUAUGAUCUCCAUCUCCGAAGCACCGUCAUGAUCACCAUCGCCACCGGCGCGACACCUUGAGCACCAUCAUAGCAUCGUUGUCGUCUCGCCAAUCUUAUGCUUCCACGACUAUCGCUAAUGCUUAGUGAUAAAGUAAAGCAUUACAUCGCAAUUGCAUUGCAUACAAUAAAGCGACAACCAUAUGGCUCCUGCCAGUUGCCGAUAACUCGGUUACAAAACAUGAUCAUCUCAUACAAUAAAAUUUAGCAUCAUGUCUUGACCAUAUCACAUCACAACAUGCCCUGCAAAAAUAAGUUAGACGUCCUCUACUUUGUUGUUGCAAGUUUUACGUGGCUGCUACGGGCUUUAGCAAGAACCAUUCUUACCUACGCAUCAAAACCACAACGAUAGUUUGUCAAGUUGGUGUUGUUUUAACCUUCGCAAGGACCGGGCGUAGCCACAUUUGGUUCAACUAAAGUUGGAGAAACUGACACCCGCCAGCCACCUGUGUGCAAAGCAUGUCGGUAGAACCAGUCUCGCGUAAGCGUACGCGUAAUGUCGGUCCGGGCCGCUUCAUCCAACAAUACCGCCGAACCAAAGUAUGACAUGCUGGUAAGCAGUAUGACUUAUAUCGCCCACAACUCACUUGUGUUCUACUCGUGCAUAUUACAUCAACGCAUAAAACCAGGCUCGGAUGCCACUGUUGGGGAACGUAGUAAUUUCAAAAAAAAAAUCCUACGCACAUGCAAGAUCAUGGUGAUGCAUAGCAACGAGAGGGGAGAGUGUUGUCCACGUACCCUCGUAGACCGAAAGCGGAAGCGUUGACGCAACAUAGAGGAAGUAGUCGUACGUCUUCCCGAUCCGACCGAUCCAAGCACCGAUAGUCCGGCACCUCCGAGUUCUUGGCACACGUUCAGCUCGAUGACGAUCCCCGGGCUCCGAUCCAGCAAAGCGUCGGGGAGGAGUUCCGUCAGCACGACGGCGUGGUGAUGAUCUUGAUGUUCUACCGUCGCAGGGCUUCGCCUAAGCACUGCUACAAUAUGACCGAGGUGGAAUAUGGUGGAGGGGGCACCGCACACGGCUCAGGAACGAUCACGAAGAUCAACUUGUGUGUCUAUGGGGUGCCCCCUGCCCCCGUAUAUAAAGGAGUGGAGGAGGGGAGGGCCGGCCCUCUCUAUGGCGCGCCCUAGGGGAGUCCUAGUCCCACCGGGAGUAGGAUUCCCCUUUUCCUAGUACAACUAGGAGUCCUUCCAAGUAGUAGGAGUAGGAGACAAGGAAGGGGAAGAGGGAAGAGAAGGAAGGAGGGGGCGCCGCCCCUCCCCCUAGUACAAUUCGGACUAGUCAAUGGGGGGGGGGGCGCGGCCUGCCUCUCCCUCUCCCCUAAAGCCCAAUAGGGCCCAUAUACUUCUUCCCCCGUAUUCCCGUAACUCCCCGGUACUCCAAAAAAUACCUGAAUCACUCGGAACCUUUCCGAUGUCCGAAUAUAGUCGUCCAAUAUACCGAUCAUUAUGUCUCGACCAUUUCGAGACUCCUCGUCAUGUCCCUGAUCUCAUCCGGGACUCCUAACUCCUUCGGUACAUCAAAACUCAUAAACUCAUAAUAUAAUUGUCAUCGAAACCUUAAGCGUGCGGACCCUACGGGUUCGAGAACAAUGUAGACAUGACCGAGACACAUCUCCGGUCAAUAACCAAUAGCGGAACCUGGAUGCUCAUAUUGGCUCCCACAUAUUCUACGAAGAUCUUUACCGGUCAGACCGCAUAACAACAUACAUUGUUCCCUUUGUCAUCGGUAUAUUACUUGCCCGAGAUUCGAUCGUCGGUAUCUCAAUACCUAGUUCAAUGUCGUUACCGGCAAGUCUCUUUACUCGUUCCGUAAUACAUCAUCUCGCAACUAACUCAUUAGUUGCAAUGCUUGCAAGGCUUAUGUGAUGUGCAUUACCGAGAGGGCCCAGAGAUACCUCUCCGACAAUCGGAGUGACAAAUCAUAAUCUCGAAAUACGCCAACCCAACAUGUACCUUUGGAGACACCUACAGAGCUCCUUUAUAAUCACCCAGUUACGUUGUGACGUUUGGUAGCACACAAAGUGUUCCUCCGGCAAACGGGAGUUGCAUAAUCUCAUAGUCAUAGGAACAUGUAUAAGUCAUGAAGAAAGCAAUAGCAACAUACUAAACGAUCAAGUGCUAAGCUAACGGAAUGGGUCAAGUCAAUCACAUCAUUCUCCUAAUGAUGUGAUCCCAUUAAUCAAAUAACAACUCUUUGUCCAUGGUUAGGAAACAUAACCAUCUUUGAUUAACGAGCUAGUCAAGUAGAGGCAUACUAGUGACACUCUGUUUGUCUAUGUAUUCACACAUGUAUUAUGUUUCCGAUUAAUACAAUUCUAGCAUGAAUAAUAAAAAAUUAUCAUGAUAUAAGGAAAUAAAUAAUAACUUUAUUAUUGCCUCUAGGGCAUAUUUCCUUCAUUAUCAUGUAUCAGGUGGUCGUGGGUUUUCUCUGCCCACCGUACACAAUCGUUUAGGUGGUGGUACCUACUUCACCCUUGCUCCUGGUUUCUUCGGGAAGUACUUGACUAUUUCCUCCUCAUAGAUUCUAAAGGUUCCCUUCCCUUUUGAGCAAUCUAGUGAUGCACCUGCAGUAUUCAGAAAUGGUCUACCAAGGAUAAUUGAUAAUUUUUCGUCUUUGGGCAUAUCAAGAAUAAUAAAACCAGUAGGUAUAACAUGCCCGUCCAAUCUCAAUGGAACGUUUUCAGCCAUCUCCAGUAGCUUCUUUGUGGACUUGUCUGCCAUCUAUAAUGUUAUGUCUGUGGAUAUACAUUCAGAUAAAUUUAACUUGUGAAAAAGAGUUUGAGGCGUCACACUUACCUCUGCUCCUACAUCACAAAAGAGCAUUAUUUAUAUCAAGAUUACCAAUAGAACAAGAUAUAGUGGGUAUACUUGGGUUUCCCAAUUUCUCUGGUAUCUUGUUAUCGAACGGAUACUCCGUAUCAUGGCAACUUGUUCCUUAAAGGUCAUACUCCUUUUAUUAUUCACAACAUCACGCAUGAACUUGGCAAAAGUAGGAAUCUUUAACAUAUCAGUCACAUCAAUUGACAUUUUAAGAUCAACAAUGGCUUGCAGAAAAGAAGAGUACAAUGCGUCAUUUGAAGGUGGUCUUACAACCGGAGAGUUUUCUUAGUUUUACCUUUAUCUUUCUCUUUCUCCUUACUUUUCCCUUUAUUUUUUGGUGCUAGGCCACUAACCUUAUUGGUUGAAUCAGGUGGUUGUUUAUUUCUUUCCACCCUGGGUUCUUCCUCUUCUUCUGCUUUCGAAGUUUAUUCUUCAUUGUUAUUGCCAUCCGUUGCUUCUGCAUCUGAGUCAACUUCUUUUUCAACUUCUGCUUCAUCUUCCUGGGUAUCUUGAUGGACCUGUUCUUCAGGUUCUUCACCAAAGAGCAAUUCUCUACUCUCUUGAGUUUGGCUUUGGCUCUCUAUUCUUCUUUGUUCUUGCUCUCUUUCAUACCAUUCCGGGCCCUUGGGAUCUUGCGUUCUCUUACCACUUCGAGUAAAAACAGGAUUAUCUAACUGAGCAAGGAUCAAAGCCCGAGUCUCAGAGAUUUUAAUACAUUGGGUCUUUAUCAUACGAGAGUGUUUAAGAUCUUACCAACUGGGUAUGCUGACUUACCAGGUACCACGUCGUGAAAGACUGUAGAAGACGGCUUAAGAUCCUUAUCAGUCAAAUUCAUACGGCGAAAAGUAUCAUAAUAAAGGAUAUUGAUACCGCUGCCUCCAUCCACGAGUACCUUAGUAAAUUUAUAACCCCCAACUUGAGGGGCUACCACCAAUGCCAGUUGACCCGGAUUGUCAACCCGGGGCGGGUGAUCCUCACGACUCCAUACAAUCGGCUGCUCUAACCACCACAAAUAUCGAGGCACUACCGGCUCAACUAUAUUGAGCACACAUUUAUGAACCUUCUGAUCUCGCUUGCAAAGGCUUGUGGUGAAAACAUGAUAUUGGCCACUGUUAAGCUAUUUUGGAUUACUCUGAUACCCUGACUGUUGUUCCUGGUUACUCUGAUUGGGCUGCUGAUUAUAACCACUCUGGUUACCUUGUCCUUGAUAUCCAGAACUUGAGCCGCCGGCCCGAAGCCGGGUCCAGGUGAGCCGGAUCCUGACCCGCCAUGCGGGCCGUUAUUGUUAUUAUGAUUCUAGUGAUGGCCAGAAUUCUUGUAUUCCUUCAUAAUAAAGCAAUCCUUCCACAAAUGAGUCGAUGGUCUAUCCGGGAAACUAUGUUUUGGGCAAGGUUCAUUCAACAUCGCCUCCAGGUUGAAUUUCGGUCCUCCAAACUGCGACUUACCCUUACGACGCUGAUUAUUGCAUCGUGUAUUGGUAUUAGCCACAAAGUCUGACCCGCCGUCGGCUUGCUUGCGCUUACCGUUGUUGCCCUGAUUAUGUCCUGCUAUGUUCUGUUGCUGACCUAUACCGUUACCAUUCUUCUUUGCCAUGUUAGAUUUUUCAUCAUCAGACCCCGGCUCCUUAGUAGGAUCAGAGUCAGCAUACUUGAUAAGAGCCGCCAUGAGCUCCCCCAUAUCAUUGCAAUGACGUUUAAGCCGUCCUAACUUCUGCUUGAGAGGUAAGAAGUGGUAAUUCUUCUCCAGAAUCAGCAUAGCAGAGCCGGCAUUGAUGCUAUCUAAUGAGUGGAUAAUAGUUGAAAUCCGGCGAACCCAAUGGUGGGCCGACUCAUUCUCUCACUGGACACAAGCGUCCAGAUCAAUAAUCGACGAGGGUUGCUUGCAUGUGUCUUUAAAAUUCUGAAUAAAACGCGCUUUCAACUCAGCCCAUGAACUGAUGGAGUUGGCUGGCAACCCUUUCAACCAGGUUCGAGCUGGCCCAUCCAACAUCAUGGUGAAGUACUUGGCGCAUACUGCAUCACUGACAUCUAACAUCUCCAUGGCCAGUUCAUAGCUCUCAAUCCAAGCCUCAGGCAGAAGAUCAGAUGUGUAAUUAGGCACCUUAGGAGGACCCUUGAAAUCUUUGGGAAAACGCUCAUUGUGUAGAGCCGGCACUAUACAGGGCACUCCAAUUGACCUGGAGGUCAUCCCAGCUUCAAUAGACACACAAGGAUUCAACUGAAACUGCUGGUGAGCCCCCACUUGAGCCGCCAACUCCGCCUCAUGACGCACUCUAGCUUGAUCCGCAAGGGCCUGAGCAGCAUUAUGAUCGCGCGGCGGGUUAUGUCCACGCGGUGGGUCAUCAGCUCGAGGCGGGUUACGAUGCCGCUCACUACUGGAAACCACCGGCUAUUCGAUACGAUGGUUGUAGUUGCGACUCUGGCGGGGUGUUGAAUGAAUACGAUCGCGACUGUAUGAAUAAGCCGCCUGCUGUCUGGCCGCUGUUUGAAGGAGCUCAAUGGCAUUACGGGUUUCUACAGCCACCAGCGACUCUCCCUCAAUGGGAAUUGCUGCCAAUCGACUGGCAGCUGCUAACAUGUUGUCCAUCGGGUUAGAGUAAUGACCAGAAGGCGUGGGCUCCCGUUGAGGUGGGGCCAGAUCCAUACGAGGCGGAUCUGGUACACAGGGUUGAGUCGCCGCUCCAGUCACAGGCGCCUCCGUAGCCCGGGUCACACCGGGCGGGUUACUCAUUCUCGGGCGUGUUAAAAAGAUUCUGCCCCUCAAAUUGCGAAGGAAGACGGCUCUGGUGCCUCCUUCGAAAAAUAGCAUUUGACACGUUCUAAUACAGGUUUAGACGAAAGGCCUCUGCCCUUAUCCGCUGUGAUUUAGCAUCCAGGGCGGCUCGUUCUGUGGUCAUCCUGACAUUCUCUGCCUCAAGAUCCUCUCGGCCCUUGGUCACCUCGUCUCGUAGUUUUGCAAUCUCCGCAUUAUGCUGCACUUGAUUAUCCGGAGUCACCUCUGCAGCUAACAGAGUCGCCAACGCAUCUAAGAGUUCGAAUAAGACUUGAGUCGGCGGACGCGCAGAGCCGCUCGCUCCGGCCGUUGUAGCAGCGGUUGAACCGGAUGUCAUGGCCGCAACGGUUGAGGAUUGUAACACUGGUUGCGUGCCAGCCAUGAAAAUAGCAGCCUUGCUCGGUGGCUCAUAGGGCUCCGGAAUACUGUCGCCAUCGGAAUAGCCCCCAAGCCCGCCAUCUUGCAGUUGAUAGAUUGACUCAGUUUCAUUGGUUGAGGACUCGUCACGUGAAUAGAUGUCCGUCUUUCCACCAGACAUAGAACCUUCCUCAAGAUCUGCCCCAUGAAAAAGCCAACGAAAGCAUGCUUCCAGGCGGGUUGGACCUUGGCGGGUCGCGCGCGCCGAGCCAUCUCAAUGAUGUUGGUGCUGGAGUCACGCUCGGGCUCUGACUCGCCGACCUUGCCGAUGAAGACGUGAAUUCCGCCAAAGGGGACCUGGUACCCGUACUCGAUUGAAUCGGUCUCGGGACCCCAGCCACUGUCGUCGAUGUAGAUCUUCUCGCGGCGACUCUUUGUCAUCCGGCCCACAGCGUAUCCCUUGAUCCCGGAGAAGCUGCCCUUCAAGAACUCGAAACCACCGUGCUCUGGCCCCACGGUGGGCGCCAACUGUCGUGGUUUUUGUCACGGCGGAUGCCCUUGUGAAAGGACUUAGGUGUGGAGCCAUCGUGAUGUUGGUCAGCUUGAAGGGGUUGAACGGGACAAAGGACACAAAGGACUUACCCAGGUUCGGCCCCUCACAACAAGGUAAAAGCCUACGUCCUACUUCUAGUUGUAUUGCUUGAGUUUUGAUUACAAGGGAGCGAAUACGCUUGACCUAACUCUCGAUAGAUUGUUUCUUGAGUUAACCCGCCGCCGGGUCUCACCUUUAUAUACACAGGUCGAAGCCCGACAGCUUACAAGAGUCCGAGCCGGAUCACACAACGUGACCAACCUAGUUUCUAAACUAUCUUGCCUUAACAGACAAGCCACCAUAUGGCGGUUCACAUGCCCGGGUCUCGGGCUGUCACCAGGCCCACUCCUGUGAGCCUCCAUCUCCGCACUUGUCCUCUCAGGCCUUCUUGGACCUUCUUCAUGUUAAGCCGCCAACGGUGUAACCCGGUCCCUCCUGGGCGGGUCACACCUCGGAGUUAUAUCCCCAUCAGCGACCGAAGUAGUUUCAUGUAUGUUCGUUCGUUUUUCUUCUCUGCUUAUUCAUUCAUUCCCUUUUCUUUUUUUACUUUUGUUUAUUUUUUAAAAAUAUUUUAAAUACACAUAUUUCAAAACUUAACCUCUAAUACGUAAAAAGAUAUAAGGUUCCAUCUUUCCUUUUCUUCCCACCACCCUUUCAUCUCAAUCAACUUAAUUUACUUACCUUCUGAACCAAUUUCAUUUUAAUUUACUUACCAAACUUCUCAUCAAACUAUAAGGUAAAUCACGAACCGAUUUGAUAAACAAUAUUUACACAAUCGCAUUAAUAUGGUCUAGUAAUCACAGGCUAACAUACUAGGAUAUUUAUAUUAUGUUUCAAUCACCUUAAUUUACUUACCUUCUAAUCUAAUUCCACUUUAAUUACUUAUCAAACAUUGGGAAUGUAUCCGGUGUACCGGUGCACCCACACUCGGCUGAUACCGAUGCACCCACCCUCGGAUGAUACCGAUGCACCGGAUGCAAUAGAACAUUUUUAUAAAUCUAAAGAAAAAAUCUGGCACAUCAACACAACAUCAAUGUAGUGACAAAAAUUCGUAGCAAAAUUUGAAAUAUUUCUUGAGAUACAAAAAUGAUAAAUUUGAUAUUAAUAUGUUAAUGGGCUAAAUCUAAAGCCCAACUUUUAUUAUGUACUAUUCAGUGUUGGAUUUUUCAUUUUUAUUUACCGAGCUAUGUUUCGAAUUGGACUUGAAAUUUUAUGUCAAUCUACAUUAAUGUUGUGUGAAUGUCCUAAAAACACAUUUUUUUUCAACAUUUUAAAAUGUGCAACAUGAAUACGGUGCACCGGUAGCACCACAAGCACAAGUGCACCAGAUAAACAUAUUAAUGUGCAAUAUGAUUAAUUAAAUAGUUAUUUACACAAUCACAUUAAUAUGAAAAGUGUAAGUGCAUCUAGUGCCACCCCUAGUUGGUUUUGGAGUAUUGAAGACAAAUUUGGUUGAGGGACUAAUGUGUUUGUGAGAAUUGCAGGAUAACACAGGUAGUGUCCCUCAUUGAUUCGGUUUGCCUACCGGAGAUGACCCCUAAAAAUGUAUGAAGACAUUGACAACAAUGGUGGUAUGUGAAGAUAUUCAUAUUGAAGACUAUGACAUGAGAAGACAUUUAGUGAAGACUAUGGAGCGCGAAGACUUAGUUGUUUCGUUGUUUCCUUUUCUUCUUUGUUGAGUCAUAGGAACCACCGUACUGUUAAGUGGGGUCCAAGUGAACAAAGUCAGAAUGACUGAAGUGAUGCUCAACCCAAAUCCUAUGUCUUCGAGCGAAGACAAUGAGAGCAAAUCUUAUCCAGAGCUGGAUAAGUCAGCUUUGCUUGUAGCCCAAGUAAAGUUGCCGUGUGUGUUUGAAAUCUGACCGUUGGAACACGUCUCAGUUCCUUAGUGACCCAGGGUCAUUUCGGACAUAUCAGGUCGGGUUGCCUAGUGGCUAUAAAUAGCCCACCCCCUACACCAUAAAUUGGUGGCUGCUCAGAGUUAGUGCAUGACUUUUGUCGUUUGAGAGCAACCCACCUCAAAGCCUUUGAGAGAGAGAAAUCCUUGCGAGGACAAAGCCCAAACACCCAGAGCCAGAGAGUGUUAGGCAUCACUGAAGUCUUUCUGUCUGCGUGACCUGAAGACUUAUUACACUUGAGGACUAUGAAUCCUCCAGCCGGUUAGGCGUCGCGUUCUGAGCAUCCAAGAGUCAUUGUGGAUCGCUGGUGAACGAAGUCUGUGAAGGUUCGGAAGUCUACCUUGAAGACUUACCAGAGUGAUUUGGCGAGGACUGUGUGUCCUUAGCUCAAGGGGAAUAAGGUGAAGACGCGGUCUUCUGAGUUGAAUCUCAGCCUCCCUAACCAGACGUACAGUUGUCACAGCAACUGGAACUGGUCCAACAAAUCCUGUGUAAUCAACAAGUGACUGGUUCUAUCCUCUCCCUCUCUUUACUUAGAGUUUGUCUUCGUGAAGUCAUUGCCUGUUUGCCUUACCUGUUUGACUUCAUUGCUUGACUACUAUUGUUGUUUGGCUUCAUACUAUCUUCCAUCCUGAUCUUUACUACCUAGCUGCUAUUAGUCCUUGUGAUUUCACUUCAUUACAUAUUUGACUAUGGCUUGCUUAGUGUAGUCUACCUUCCGCUGCAUCUCAAUAGGUUCAUUUCUAUUAUUUGUCUUUGAAACUUCCAUGUUUUGUAGACUUUCAUAAAAAUCGCCUAUUCACCCCCCCUCUAGUCGAUAACUAGCACUUUCAAUUGGUAUAAGAGCAAGGUACUCCCUUGUUCUGUGUGAUUCGGUUUAACCACCUGGAGUUUUAGCUAUGUCGACUGCAGGGAUAAUCAAAGUCUCCGCUGCUUGCCCCGUGUUCGAUGGAACUGAAUAUCCCUACUGGAAGAAUAAGAUGCGCAUGCAUCUUGAAGCCAUUGAUGUCGACCUCUGGUAUGUCGUCAAGAACGGCGUUCCCAAAACUGGUGAAGGUGUCACCCCUACUGAUGUCAAGAAGUUCAUUCAACUAGACUCUACUGCCAAGAACAUCAUCUGUGGUCAUCUUACCAAAGGAUAGUAUGGCCGCGUGAGUGCUCUGGAAACGUCGAAGCUAGUCUGGGAGUGGCUAUCCAAGGUCAAUGAAGGCGUCUCAACCCAGAGAGAUCAAAGGAUCAGUGUUCUUCGCAACCUCUUCAAUCGCUUCAAGAGAAAUGACAAUGAAAAUAUCCAGCUCCCGUUUGAUCGCCUCACUGACAUCACAAAUGAGCUUCGUGCUCUCGGCGCCACUGAGAUUACCAAGCAUGAAAUCGUCAAGACACUACUGAGAUCACUUGACAGCUCCUUUGACACCCUUGCCCUCAUGAUACAAGAAUGUCCUGACUUCAAGACACUCGAUCCGUCUAAUAUACUUGAGAGGCUCAACACACAUGAGUUCCAGAUUUCUGAGAAAAGAGAUAUCUAUGGUCCCAACUAUGGCCGAACUCGCGCUUUGAAGGCAAAAGUUGUUUCCUCAUCUGAAGAAGAAUCUGACUACAGUUCUGAUGAUCCUGAAGACAUUGGAAAGGAACUUGCUAUGCUUGUGAAGAAGUUCCAGAAGUUCACUAAGAAGAAGGGCUUCAGAAAGUCUUCACGAUCCAGCUCAAGAAAUGAUGAAGCUUCCACUCAUGACUACAAGAAGAGAACAUGUCACAAGUGCAAGAAACCUGGACACUAUAUCUCUGAGUGUCCACUGUGGGACAACGAGAAGAAGAAGAAGAAGAAGAAGAGCAUGGAAUAUGAUUCUGAUGACAAGAAGAAGAAGAAAUCUUCAAAGUCUUCUUCCAAGUCCUCAUCCAAGUCUUCAUCUCACAAGAAGAGCUCAUCUGGCAAGGCUCGUGCUUUUGUUGGCAAGGAAAUGGAUUCAGAGGAGGAGUCUGCUUCUGAGGAGGCGGAGGUGGAGUCUGAGGAGGAGUCCGACCCUGGCGUUGCAAGUCUGGCUCUAGCCACAGCCUACGUUGCCAAGUCCAUCUUCAACACUGAAGACAAUGACUUCCACAGCAACGCUGAAGCUGAUGACAAGGACGACCCUGCUCCCACCUACUGCUUCAUGGCACGUGGUGCCAAGGUAAAAUCACGUGAUGCUUACUUUCGAACAUCAAGUGAAGAUGACUCUGAUUGUGAAUCCAAACCCAGCUACAAAACACUUGCUAAAAUUGCAACUGAACAACAAAAAGCUAUGGAACAUACUCAAAAACUGUUAGACAAAAGCAAUGACCUGUUGGACGCGGAAAUGACACGUUCACAGUCCUUAGUUGAAGACAUAAAAAAUCUUCAUGCUAAGUACCAAGAACUUGAAAGUCGUCAUGAAACGCUCUCAACCACUCAUGAAAAGCUCUCCUAUGAUUAUCUUCAAAGGAAGCAAGAGCUUGAGAAAUUGAGAGCGGCUCAUGAAGAUCUUCAAAAAGAGAAUGAGUCACUUCGCGCUCAACAGAUCAAUCCCGCUCAGGAUGGAUUUGAACCACCAUGUCUAAAAUGCCUUGAGCGUGAUAACACUACCUCUGUUGCUGAAUGUUCUACUGCUGCUACUGUUGCAUUGUCUUCAACUACUGAUGUGGUAACUAGCCCCUCUGCGGAGGAUACCACUACUAUUGCUGAUGAAAAUGCUAGGUUGAAGACAUUGCUUGAAACAGGGAUGUAUAAAAGUCUGAAAGGGCAUCAGACACUUUGCGAUGUCCUCAAAAAGCAGAUUCUGAACCAAAACCCUAGGAAAGAGGGUGUUGGGCUCGAGAGGAAAAUGAAUGUUGAUGGUUCCUACUGGAAGCCUGAGCAGUAUCCCAAAACCACAUGGGUUGCUGCAAAGGGACCUUCAGUGGAUCCAUCCACCUUAUCUGGCUUUACCUGUGCUAACCCUGUUAUCAUUGAUGAAUCCUUUGAUGCAAACUAUAAACUGUUCAAGAAUCAGAAUGGUGAAGUGUUUGCCAGAUAUAUUGGUACUAACUGCAGGAAUGGGCCACCUAUGAAGAAGAUCUGGGUUCCCAAAAGCUGUCUUGAGAAUCUUCCAGUAAAUGUUAUCAUGACACCACCUGGGAAGAAGACAAACCCCAGACCUAAGGCGUCAUAUGGUCCAAAGAAUUCAUACAGACAAAGGAAUCACCUGAGUCACCCUAACGCCAAUGUUUUGCAGGGAAACCGAACUCAAACUUAUGAAUAUGAGCGUGUGUCUUCAAACCGCUAUGUUCAUAAAACUAAGAACUUUUCUGCUUAUUCAUAUGAGUAUCAUUCAUCUCCUGCAAGGCUAUUUGUUAGGGCUCCAAAGCCGAAGUUCUCAGAUGCUGCACUUAGACUCAUUGCUUCUAAGCCACCCCUGAAGAUGUGGGUGGUUAAGAAGAAUUAACUUUCUUUUGCAGAGAAAGGUCUCCAGCCAAAAAUCAAAGGCGUCUGAUGCUAUUGCUGGGGACCUAAAACAUCUUGUAGGGCACAAGAUCAAAUGCCCAAAUGGUCUCACUAUGUAUUUUGUUCCUGAAUCGCUUGUCAUUCAUCCUAUCAGUCCUAAUCUUGAUCUGAGCUUCAAUAAUCCUCUUGCCCGUCAAAUGUUUUUGCUUCACAAUACUCUUGGUGAAGCCUAUCCCCCUAACUGUACUAUAGGGUAUGAUACCUCAUGCUUCAGAAUGGAUUAUGGACAGCGGAUGCACUAAUCAUAUGACUGGUGAUCGAAGUCUUCUCAUGGACUCAACCUUACGUCCAUCAGACAAGAGUCACAUCACAUUUGCUGACACUGGUAAAAGCAAGGUAUUGGGUCUAGGUAGAGUUGCAAUCUCAAAGGAUCAACACAUGGAUAAAGUGAUGCUUGUUGAAUCCCUUGGUUUCAACUUAAUGUCUGUCUUGAUGCUUUGUGACUUGAACAUGAUUGUGCUAUUCGGAAAAUAUCGUUGCCUUGUACUAAUGGAAUCUGACAAGUCUCUAGUCUUUGAAGGGUACAGAAAAGAUGAUCUAUACAUGGUAGAUUUCUCAGCAAGUCCACAGCUUGCCGUAUGUCUUCUUGCAAAAGCUUCAGAGUGCUGGCUCUGGCAUCGGAGGCUGGGGCAUGCUGGCAUGAGGAACUUACACACACUCGCCAAGAAGAAGCAUGUCAUUGGCAUCGAGGGUGUCAAGUUCAAGAAGGAUCAUUUGUGUGGUGCCUGCGAAGCAGGAAAGAUGACAAGGGCCAAGCAUCCCUCGAAGACAAUCAUGACUACAUCUCAACCUUUUGAGCUUCUACACAUGGACUUAUUUGGCCCUACUCACUACUCUACCCUCACUACGACUGCCUGUCUCUAUGGCUUCGUCAUUGUUGAUGAUUACUCAAGAUACACAUGGGUGCACAUAAUUCUCUACAAGACUGAAGUGCAAGAUGUCUUCAGACGCUUCACCAAUCGAGCCAUGAACAAUUAUGGCGUCAAGAUCAAGCAUAUCAGAAGUGACAACGGCACUGAGUUCAAGAACACCGGACUUGAUCUUUAUCUGGAUACAAUGGGAAUCACUCAUGAGUUCUCUGCUCCUUACACACCUCAGCAAAAUGGCAUCGUAGAGCGCAAGAACAGAACCCUCAUUGAGAUGGCUCGAACGAUGCUCGACGAAUACAAGACACCAAGAAAGUUCUGGCCUGAAGCUAUUGAUACAGCAUGUCACGUCAUCAACCGUGUUUACAUCCAUAAGCUUCUGAACAAAACAUCCUAUGAGCUCCUCACUGGCAAGAAGCCAAAUGUCAGCUACAUCAGAGUAUUUGGAGCUAGGUGCUGGAUCAAGGAUCCCCAUCACAAGUCAAAAUUUGCACCAAAGGCUCACGAAGGCUUCAUGUUCGGUUACGGAAAGGACUCGCACUCUUAUAGAGUCUUCAACCUCUAUCUUUACAAAAUCGUCGAAACUGUGGACGUGCGGUUUGAUGAAACCAAUGGUUCACAAAGAGAGCUCCUGCCAAGUACACUAGAUGAAUCUCCACCCAGCGAAUCUAUCAAGCUAAUGGGAACUGGUGAAAUCAUGCCUUGUGAAGCACAGCCUAAAGAGGAACUUAUCAUAUCUGCACCUAACCAACCUGAAGACAGUGCUCAGCCUGAAGACAAUCCUCCCAAUGAUGACAAUGAUCAGCAAGAGCAAAGUCUUCGUCCAGUUCAUCCUCGUGUUGCAAAUGAAGUACGAAUUGAGAAGAUAAUUGAUAGUAUCAAUGCACCUGGUCCACUUACUCGCUCAAGAGCAACGCAGUUAGCAAAUUUCUGUGGGCACUUUUCUUUUGUGUCAAUAUCAGAACCCAAGAAAGUUGCUGAAGCCUUCAUGGAACUUGAAUGAAUUCAAGCUAUGCAAGAAGAGCUUCAACAGUUCAAGCUGAACAAUGUUUGGGAACUUGUCAAGCAUCCUGACCCUCGCAAGCAUAACAUUAUUGGCACAAAGUGGAUAUAUCGAAACAAGCAAGAUGAGCAUGGUCAAGUCGUCAGAAACAAAGCACGUCUUGUGGCUCAAGGAUAUACUCAAGUUGAAGGAAUUGACUUCGAUGAAACAUUUGCUCCUGUGGCUAGGCUUGAAGCUAUUCGCAUACUGCUAGCCUAUGCUAACCACAACAACAUCUUGCUAUAUCAAAUGGAUGUGAAGAGUGCAUUUCUCAACGGCAAGAUUGAAGAAGAAGUAUACGUCGCUCAACCACCUGGCUUUGAAGAUCCAAAACAUCCUGAUAUGGUGUACAAGCUAAAAAAAGCAUUGUAUGGCCUCAAACAAGCUCCUCACGCUUGGUAUGACACGAUCAAAGACUUCCUAAAGAGCAAAGGCUUCAAACCUGGAUCCCUCGAUCCCACACUCUUCACGAAGACAUAUGAUGGUGAACUAUUUGUGUGCCAAAUAUAUGUGGAUGACAUUAUCUUCAGUUGCACCAACCAGAAGUAUAGUGAUGAGUUUGGAUACAUGAUGCAAGAGCAAUAUCAGAUGUCCAUGAUGGGAGAGCUGAAGUUCUUCCUUGGUCUUCAAAUUCGUCAGCAAAGAAAUGGCAUCUUCAUAUCUCAAGAGAAAUACCUCAAAGAUUGCCUGAAGAAGUUUGGAAUGCAAGAUUGCAAAGGUUACACGAUGCCAAUGCCAGCCAAACAUCAUCUCGGUCCCGACGACAAUGGUAAAGAGUUCGAUCAAAAGGUAUACCGCUCCAUGAUUGGUUCUUUACUUUACUUGUGUGCUUCUAGGCCAGAUAUUAUGCUUAGUGUUUGCAUGUGUGCUCGAUUCCAAGCGGCACCAAAGGAAUCGCAUCACUUAGCUGUGAAGCGAAUUCUUCAAUAUUUGGCUCACACCCCAACACUAGGAUUAUGGUAUCCAAAGGGCUCAGAAUUUGAUCUAGUUGGAUUCUCGGAUGCUAAUUAUGCUGGUGACAAGGUGGAUCGCAAGUCUACAUCAGGCACAUGUCACUUUCUGGGACGAUCACUUGUCUGUUGGUCUUCAAAGAAGCAGAACUGUGUAUCACUCUCAACUGCUGAAUCUGAAUACAUUGCUGCUGGAUCUUGCUGUGCUCAGCUCCUAUGGAUGAAGCAAACUCUCAAGGACUAUGGCAUCAAUCUGAAACAAGUACCUCUCUUCUGCGACAACGAAAGCGCCAUCAAGAUUGCCAACAACCCAGUCCAGCACUCGAAAACAAAGCACAUUGAAAUUCGUCAUCACUUCCUCAGAGAUCAUGUCAUGAAGAAAGAUAUUGAUAUCAUUCACGUCAACACUGAAGAGCAAUUGGCAGAUAUCUUCACAAAGCCCUUGGAUGAGAAAAGGUUUUGCAAGUUACGGUGUGAGCUAAAUAUCUUGGAAUCCUCAAAUGUCCUGUGAUCAGGCACACAUCCUAACACUUAUGCAUGUUGAUGACUUAGAUGUGCAAGACACGAAGUAAAGUAUAUCUUCAAUCAAUGAAGACUUACAUUCUGAGUGUGAAUACAUUAACUUGGAAUUUGACUUUGGAGCGCCACGAUAAUUGUGCACCGUAUCUGGGUCUAAUACUUCCUAUACGGUGGGUAAUGCCACCACCAAAUUUCUUUGUUUGAAGUGUUUCACUCAUGGCGUUACAUUUGAUAUGUCUUCACAUUUGGUUUGUCUUCAAUUUCAAUUUAUCUUCAUGAUUAUCUUCAUUAUGUUGAUUUGAUUGCUUUCUGAUAUAUAUACUAUUGUUCUGUCCUCCAACGUUCACUUAUAGCUAUGUCUUCCUUGUUGAAUCUUUUGAACUAAGUGAAUGUGAUCGGACCCUAAUCUCUCUAUGCUUCCUAUCUCAAACUCUAUCUGUCCAAAUCAUAUGCAUUCUAUUGAAAUUGUCGAAUGUCUUCUCUGCGUUCUUGUCAGCAGAAGAUACAGAGACAAACAUUAAGUCUGUUUUAAAUUAUUCAUCCUUAUUGCCUGAAAUCCGGAGAAGUCAGAACGACCAUCCGACAAACCUGGCGGGCGUGGGAACGUGGGAAAACUCUGAGUAUGUUGCAUGCUUGCCACGUGCCCCUUAGAUGUGAACCGCCAGGGGCACCUGCGUAAUUGCGCUGUGCCGCACACUUCCUUAUAAAUACUUGCCCCCUACGGUAAAGAAAACCUUCUUCCACCUCUCCACCUCGUCAAAACCCUAGCGCCACCGCUAGCUCUCCACGACACCGAUGACGAAGCGCUUAGCUGCCGCGACCUCUCCGACGCCGUCCUCAAGCCGGCCGUGGACAUCGUCCUCUCCGCCGCCGCCGUAGGUGUCCUCCAUCGCCAAGUUAGGGCACGGUGGAUUGAACUGCUCGGUCUCCUACUCUUCCCAUCUAGUAGUUCUUCGCGUGGUAAAUACAACUCUAUUUUUACCAUCUUUUUGAUCCUCAAAGAUUCAUCCUGUUUGCCAAAAUAGGUUUCUUCCUAUACAAUGUUAGAUCUAUCCUGUCUGCAUCUCAUACUGCCUAGUAUAUUCACUUAAGCUUCAUAUCUAGUUAGAUUCCUCACUUGUACUUAUUCGCGGAUUCGUACAAAUCUGGAACCAACUCUCAACAUAUAAGUGAAUGUCUUCGCAUCAUGAGGUCAAUGUCUUCAAACUGAUUUAUCUUCAAAAUCUUCUGAGAAUGCAUAUGACCUCUUCCCCUUCCCUCGCAUCUCUAAUGCUGUCACAGGUACAUGUCCGUGGGAGAAUCCCUUGGUUCUCAUAGUCUGCAUUCGUUUGCAGAAUUCUUGCAGCAUCACAUUAACUCUCCCGAAGCCAGUUCCUGUUUGUCCAGCAAGCGAAAGCCUUUGAAGCCUUUGAACAUAUUGAAACCAUUUAGUUUGAAGUUCAUGGCUGCAGAGAAAUUAGUAAGGAAGGGUGGCAGACAGCAUCGUGGGGGAACGUCAAGAGAUUUGCCUGAUGACCUCUCAGAGCUUUACAAGACAGAUCCAGAAGAGGAUUAUAAUCAGCGCAAGACAUGAAUCCAAUGGAUUCGACGAUAUUGGGCUGAACAAUGGUUCAAAUACAAGUUCGUGACCCAGGAAUAUGCAGAGAAAAAUGCCAUCAAGCGACCAUGGGGAGAUAUUUUGUACAGAAAUCUUCCACCCAGGUCCAGAGCUGAUGCCAUUGAGCAAGGCUUCUAUCCUUGCAUGGUCCGUGGGCCACAACCAGCUGAUGCCGACCCAUCAUCUUUACUCUUGUGUCGCGAAGACAAUCUGUUCAAACGCAAUUAUCAGUUUGCAAAAGCCUCAGCAAAGAAGAACAAAGAUUCUUUGGGGUUAGACUUCAAUCCUGGUCCUCCUGCUCCUCGUGCUGACGGCACAUGCAAUGUAGAACCAAAUAUCAUCGGACCUUUCUACAACCUUGAUGGCCUCAUCACUCACAUCUCGGUUCAAGGUGCCAAAGUGGAUCAUUCUGAUGAUGAUGCUGACACUGAUGAAGCCCCAGCUCCUACUCCAAAGCCGCAGAAGCCAAAGAAGGCUAAGGCUUCAAGAUCAGCUGCUCCUCCAAAAGCUUCACGUGCGAAGCCACUGGCCACUGCACCUUCUGAAGACAGUGUGCAGUCUGAAGAUCUAUCACGUAUCUCCAAGAAGACGGAGAAGAAGAAGAAAAUCGUGAAGAAUACUGAAUAGACACUGACUCCUGCUGCCAUUCUGCGAGAAGAGCACAUUGAUCUGUCCAGCAAUGAAGAUCUUGCAGAUGAUGCCCUUGAGCAACUGAUCAAGAGCAAGGAAGAAGCAGAGAUCUUCAAUGAUUUGCCUCUCUUUGAUGUGGCAAUCAUCCAUAACUUCAUUGAUGAGUGGUUUGACACCUCAAAUCUCAGCUUUGAAGAUCUGCAACUUCCCAUUGGCCUCAGCAUCUCCUUCAAUGGCGCCAUUGCUUUUGAGCUAGCUCUUGCUCAGCGCAUCGUUGAACUGAAGCACAAGAUUGACUAUGAGAAAGCUCAGUUCAAGAAGCAUCUGGCCAAGCUCAGCGUGCAAGAUGUCAAAAACUUCAAGAUCAUGCUGCAUGAGCUCAAGGAAGCCUUUCUCAAGAAGCGCGAAGAAGCUAAAGGUUCUCGUGAGCGCAUGAAGAGUCUGGGUGACAAGUGUGUGCAAGACUACAAUGAGGCUGAAAAGCGCAAGGCUCUUGGUCGUCCUGGCAUCGACCCAAGAAUGGCUGCAAAGAAGAAGAAGCCAUCGACUGACCAAUCUGCUCCUUCAAGGCAGGAAGAGCCGCGCAUUGUCUUCCCAAGCAGCAUGACCGGCUCAAAGCCAAAGGUCAGGUCAACCGCUUCUGAGCUGAAGAAGAAGAGAACUGCCGAGGCUGAAGCUAGAAAAAGGAAAAAUCCUGAAGCCUCUGAUGCUGCUCCCUCCAAGAAGAAGCGCAAGACCAAGAAGGAUCGGGCUGCUCCCACAGAGCCCUUAGUUGUUGAACCUAUCUCAAUGGUCCGCCCUGCAUCUGAACAACAAGAACGACGAAUGAUUGUUCAUGAGCCUGCUUCCACAGAGGCUCAUGAAGCUGAAGACAUUCCAGCAGUUGACCCCACCGCUGCUGAAGACAUUGGUCACCAUGACAAUGUUGAAGAUGAUGUAGUUCUUCCUCAGAUUGAACAUAACUUGGUAUCAUCGCUUGUUCUCACGAACAGCAAACUCAUCAGCAUUGGUCAUCCUCUGACGCCAAUUGCUCAGGAUGCAUCAUGGGCUGAUCACCCACAACAGCAAGAGACCCCAAGUACUCCCCAGCAACAAGCUACCCCAUCUGUGCAAGAAGAAGAUGAUGACAUUGAGGCCCAGCCAACUCCAUCUCCAAAGGCGUCGCCAAUGUUACGCAGGCUUCGCAAAGGACCAAGGCCUCAAGUCCCUCUUUCGAGCAUUCCAGAAGGAGAAGUGCCACACCAAUCUGUUGCACGUCAAGUGUUUCCAGAUGCCACUCCUACUGUGAAUGUCUUCGAGUCUGAAGCCAAAGGUGCCGAAGACAAUCCGGCUGCAUCAGCCGAUGACAAACAAGAAGAAGAACGUGUCCCUACUCCCCCAUUACUGAAGAAGUUGUUCCUGAAGUGAAGGUGCCAGUGCUCGACCCUCCAGCUUAUCAAGUGGAGGUUGAGAAUCUUAAGGCUGCCACCACCAACACAAAUGAAGCCAAUGACGUAGUCAUGGCAGAAGCAAAUGUGGAGCCUGCACCAACCAAUGUGCCAGAAGCCAAUGCUCCUGAAGCCUCUGAUGUGCAGCCAGACGCCUCUGUUGAUGCCACUGCUCCAGUUCCGCCACCAAGGCCACACACCAUCGAGCAAGCAUUCAACUAUGGCCAGCUUAUCACUGUCAAAUGGCCCCUUCUUGUUCCUCCGCCUGCUGCUGGUCCCCAAUUUGACUAUCAUGUCGAGCACAGGCCUCAGGUUCAGAAGCCAAUGCCAAGGCUGCCUAGAUUUCUAGGUACUGCAUCAGCACCCGGAUCAUUCAAUAUCAAUGGCUUUAAGGCACACAACACCUUCUUUGAUAGCGCCAAGAACCCCUACUCUAAGGCAAGAAUAUCUUCUGAUCGGUUCUAGAGCUAUCAGCAGCGCAGUUAUUACUCAUGCAUCUUAUACAAUCAAGGUCGCAUUUUUCCACAUAUGCGUCUUGACACUGAAGCCAUAACUGGUCUACCCUAUUUGGAAGAAGCUCUGGAUUGCUUCAGAGAGUCUGGCUUGCUGCAGUUCGUCACAGAUAAGGAGCACUGGAAUGAAGAAUUACUGCUCCAAUUCUAUGCCACUCUUCAUAUUCGUGGCUACAGCAGGGAUCCAAAGACUUGGGUCCUUGAGUGGAUGACAGGCAAUGUUCAUCAUGAAGCCAAAGCCUUUGAUAUCAUUGAGCUUACUGGCCUGCCCACUCCAGGUGAUCUUUAUGAACCUGGUUGUCAGCUUCACAGUGCUGCUAUGGAGAGGAUCUUUCACAAGCCUGAGCCCAAUAUGAGUCAGAUGCUUAGCAUGAUGAAGCCGUUGCCUCCAAAUGCUGAAUAUCCUAAGGAGUUCUUUGUUGAAGACCUUGAGUAUCUGCCCCGCACCAUCUAUCACAUUAUCAGGCGAACUCUUUGGCCCAUCAAAGGACAUUCUCCACAUGCAAAGCUAGAAGGCGCAAUGAAGACGUUGGUCUUUCAUAUUCUUCAUGGCAAAAGCUUCAAUGCACAAGACUUCUUUAUCCGUCAACUUGCUGCAUCAGGAUCUGACAUUUUUGGUCUGAAGUUCUAUGCUCCCUGGAUCAUGCGUCUGAUCAAGCUCCACUCUGCCUUCAACUAUCAACCCUCUACAUGCAAUCAUAUCAUAUUUUUGCCAGAAGUUGAUUUGUCUGUUGAAGCCAUAUAUCCAGAGCCUGCCAAGGAGCCUCUUAGUCUUCAGAAUGCUGACCAUCAAAGCUUCACGCAAAACAUUGAAGGAGUUCAAGCUGUCGCUCCUGUCUAUCCAUUGGCUGGAAUCACUCGCUUGCCUCACCGUGCGCAGACUAAAGCUACUGAUAGCACCAUUGCCCAAAGGCCUUGCAAGCGCUCUCGUGUUUUGAAUGACCGAGAACUUCUAGUGGCACUGCAUCAGAAACAAGAUAAGCAUCAUGACUGGCUCAAACGACAGAUGCAAAGUCUAUUGGUGGACGUCAAUCGCAUUCGCAAUCUUGCCACCAAGAACGCUUUUGUCACUCAUGAGACCUGUCGACGCUCAUGGAAGAGUUUGACACUGCUUAGUGUUGAAGCAGAUCUUCAAGACGAUGGCUUCACUGAAAGAUUCAAGUUUGACUCCACUCCUCCACGGAAUGUUGUCUUAUGUCGAACCACAUCCCUUGAAGACUCUGACUAUUCUUCCUCCGCGGCAACUGUGAAUGCCAAAGUGAUCGAUGAUGAAGACGAUGCUACUUCACCGCCCCUACUUCUGCACGCAUCGACACUGCACCAAGUUCGUCUGCACCGCCAACCAACACCGACAACCCUGCUGCUUCACCUACUCCUCAUAGGAACGAGUAGAUGCUCUAUGUCUUCAAACCUUUUUGGUCCUUACUGACAAAAGGGGGAGAAGCGUAUGAGUUUGAUAGUCUUCAAGCGGGUUCAUAUGGGCGGUUACUUUAUAUAUUUUGCCUAGUGUUUACAACUCUUGUUUUUGAUACAUUUGGUUCUUUGAGUUGUAACACUUAAACUCGAUGGUCGUCUGCUACUUAUUUGCUAUUCUGUGAUGCGAUGAUAAAUUCCGCAUGUGCGAUGAUAACUUCCGCACUUAAGUCAUCCUGCAGACGUCCAUUUUUCAUUAUGCAUGACAUUAUCUUUGUUAUAUCUUAUCAUGCAUGAUGGAUUGUCGUCAUAAGUUGAAGAGGAUCUCCACAAGUACAACCUGCCAUGUGCAUUUGCAUUCCAAAAGCAAAUUACUUAUAUGCACAUCUUCAGGGGGAGCCUUUGCCACUUAUGAAGACAAUACCCUAUCCUUUACAAUUUCACAUACUUUAUCCUCGUUGAAAACUUCAACCAGCUUGUCAUCAAUCACCAAAAAGGGGGAGAUUGUAAGUGCAUCUAGUGCCACCCCUAGUUGGUUUUGAAGUAUUGACGACAAAUUUGGUUGAGCGACUAAUGUGUUUGUGAGAACUGCAGGAUAACACAGGUAGUGUCCCUCAUUGAUUCGGUUUGCCUACCGGAGAUGACCCUAAAAAUAUAUGAAGACAUUGACGACAAUGGUGGUAUGUGAAGAUAUUCAUAUUGAAGACUAUGACAUGAGAAGACAUUUAGUGAAGACUAUGGAGCGCGAAGACUUAGUUGUUUCGUUGUUUCCUUUUCUUCUUUGUUGAGUCAUAGGAACCACCGUAUUGUUAAGUGGGGUCCAAGUGAACAAAGUCAGAAUGACUGAAGUGAUGCUCAACCCAAAUCCUAUGUCUUCGAGCGAAGACAAUGAGAGCAAAUCUUAUCCAGAGCUGGAUAAGUCAGCUUUGCUUGUAGCCCAAGUAAAGUUGUCGUGUGUGUUUGAAAUCUGACCGUUGGAACACGUGUCAGUUCCUUAGUGACCCAGGGUCAUUUCGGACAUAUCAGGUCGGGUUGCCUAGUGGCUAUAAAUAGCCCACCCCCUACACCAUAAAUUGGUGGCUGCUCAGAGUUAGUGCACGGUUUUUGUCGUUUGAGAGCAACCCACCUCGAAGCCUUUGAGAGAGAGAAAUCCUUGCGAGGACAAAGCCCAAACACCCAGAGCCAGAGAGUGUUAGGCAUCACUGAAGUCUUUCUGUCUGCGUGACCUGAAGACUUAUUACACUUGAGGACUGUGAAUCCUCCAGCCGGUUAGUCGUCGCGUUCUGAGCAUCCAAGAGUCAUUGUGGAUCGCCGAUGAACGAAGUCUGUGAAGGUUCGGAAGUCUACCUUGAAGACUUACUAGAGUGAUUGGGCGAGGACAGUGUGUCCUUAGCUCAAGGGGAAUAAGGUGAAGACGCGGUUUCCUGAGUUGAAUCUCAGCCUCCCUAACCAGACGUACAGUUAUCACAGCAACUGGAACUGGUCCAACAAAUCAUGUGUCCUCAACAAGUGACUGGUUCUAUCCCCUCUCUCUCUUUACUUAGAGUUUGUCUUCGUGAAAUCAUUGCCCGUUUGCCUUACUUGUUUGACUUCAUUGCUUGACUACUAUCGUUGUUUGGCUUCAUACUAUCUUCCAUCCUGAUCUUUACUACCUAGCUGCUAUUAGUCCUUGUGAUUUCACUUCAUUACAUAUUUGACUAUGGCUUGCUUAGUGUAGUCUACCUUCCGCUGCAUCUCAAUAGGUUCAUUUCUAUUGUUUGUCUUCGAAACUUUCAUGUUUUGAAGACUUUCAUAAAAAUCGCCUAUUCACCCCCCCUCUAAUCGAUAACUAGCACUUUCAAAAAGCUAACAUGCUAGAAUAUUUAUAUCCCGUUGCAACGCAUAGGCACUAUUUUUAUUUAAUUAAAACAUAUUAAGAACGUUCACUGCGUGCUAGAAAAACUAGAUAACACCCUGCGUGUUGCUGCGUUUUUUUAGCAAUGAACUUACCAAAAUAAAAUUAGAACUUAUGAGAAUAGUCCCGCACCAUAUUCAACCUAGAGGUAAAUGGAGGGUGGAUGCACGCUAUAUUGUCAUGUGAAAUUCAAGUUCAAAUGUAAUGUUGAAAAAUAAAAAUAAAAAUUAAUGACGUGCAGGGCUUUCAUGAUCUUUGAUCAUGUGGACGGCUUGCACGUGGUAUAAACUGGAAUGUGGAAAGUUGAUUAAUUGCAUGCGCUGGAUGAUGUGCAUAGCUUAGAUGUGCAAUUAAAUGGGAGGCAGCAUGUGUGGGACAAAUUCGGUGAGGUGGAUAGGUUGCACUUUAAGAUAAAUAAGAUAUUGAGGAUGAACUUCCUAGGUAUAUAUAGGAUGUUAACGCAGUCUAUUUUUCUAUUUGCAACUUCUAUAAGGUGUUUAUAGCAUUCAAAAAAAUGUCCAUGAUAUCUACAAAAUGCUCGCAAGUUUUAGAAAAAGGAUGGUGGCAUUUAAAAUUAGUUAUAUAAUUUAAAAAUAUGUUUCUUACCGUUCUCCAGUCCGUUUUACUCCACAUAUAAGAUUUGUCGAAACUCAACUUCGUAAAGUUUGACCAACUUUACUGAAAAAGAGAUCAACAUUCGCAAUAUGAAGUUUAUAUGAUUAGAUGCAUCAUGAAUUUAAUUUUCAUAUCGUAUAACUUCAGUAUUAUAGAUCUUUAUAUUUUCUCAUAUAAAUAUGGUCAAACUUCAUAAAGUUUUACUUCAUACAAAUCUUAUAUGCGGAGUAAAAAGGGCCGAAGGGAGUACGUGACACUCUAAAAAAGUGUUCAUGUGUUAAAAAAUAUGUUUGUGACAUUUAAAAAAAAUGUUUAUACAAUGUCAAAAAAUGUUCGUGUAGUGUUAAAAAAGGUUUUAUGCAAAAUUAUUUUCAACGUGUAUUUCAAAAUGUUUAACAUGUAAUAAAAAGUUUAAAACAUGUAUUUGAAAAUGUUCAAUGUGUAUCAAAAUAAUGAUUCAUAUGUAUAUGAAAAAUGUACAAUGUGUAUUUAAAAAGUAGACAUAUAUUGACUGAAAUUAAGAAAUAUGUUUACACAGUGUAAAAAUGUUUGCGUAGUUCAAAAAAAAUUGGUUUGUAGCAUUUAAGAAAUGUAUGACGUGUAUUUGGAAAAUGUUUAACAUGUGUUCCAAAAUGUUCAAAACAUGUGUUAGAAAAUUUUCAACGUGUAUCAAACAAAUGUUCCAGGUGUAUACAAAACUUUACAACGCAUAUUAAAAAAUUGACAUGUAUUAAAAAAUAAAAAAAAGGAAAAAGACCAAUAAAAACAAAGAAAGCGGGUAAAGAAACAUAGAAACGCAGGAACCAAAAUAUAACCUGAUAAAAACGAACAAAGAAAACACACAUAAAAAAAGAAAAAGAAAACUGCCCGGAGGCUUCGAAAACCGUCCCAAACCAGUCAUACAAGCUUCCUUUCAUUUUUGAGCAAAAGUCAUACAAACUUCCUUUCUUUAUUGAGCAAAAGUCAUACAAGCUUCCUAAAAGCCGAUCCCAGGAAUCCAUGCGGGCGGGCACAUCUGGCGAUCGCCUACUGCGAGAUGGCGAGAUUUAGCUCCCGCAGCGCUCACCAGCCGCCUAGCACGACCCACGUUGCUCGCUAGAAGUUACAGAAGCCCAAACAGAUUCCAUUUGGACUUCAUUCACUUAACCUUCUUUGCUCUAUUAGCCCAGCGACGUCCAAAUUCCAAUUUUAUUUCCGGCUGAAACGGCAAACGGUCAGUCGUACUCCCUCCGUUUUAAAUUAGAUGACCCAACUUUAUACUAAAAUUAGUAUAAAGUUGGGUCAUCUAUUUUGGAACGGAGGGAGUAGCUCGCAGGCCACGCUGCUCGUGCUCUCUCCGGUUGACCAUCUUAAACUAACAAGUUUUUGCUCAGGCAACAGAUCCAGGGCCCAUGACCCCCCAGACAUGGAGAUCUAUACCUACUGCCCUUGUCCUCAUCCCAACUCCAGCCAUUCACUACCCCAGCCACUUGCACACGUUGCCAAAAUGCAGUCUUCAUGUGCCCAUGAACUGCCCGGCCAGCCAGCCAGCCUAACAUUUUCUGUAAUAAUAAGAGCCAGCCUCACAUUUGGCACACUCUUCAGUUCUCGGACACCCACUGAAGCACAACAUAGCCCAAAACAGACACGACAGUGACUAGAGCCCAUUUCCUGCAGUAUAUUAUACAAAAAAAUUGAUGGCUUCUAGCGCUGUACGUACGCGCAUACAUACGCGCUCCAGACGUCCAGUCUGGAACACGGCUGCACUCUCCAGAUGUAUCCUACACUACACCAAAGUUGCAGGCCACGAUUAUUAUUCCGUCGAGACUCGACUCGAGAGGGAGAAGAAAAGCGGGCCUCCCAACUGGAGGGGCUUUUCGGAAAGACAGGCCGCUCCAUUUAGGGAACUUCGAUCCUCGGCCGUCGAUGUCGAGAUCCGACGGCUGCGGGUCAUCGUGCUCAGCCACGGUCCUUUUCCCUCCGUCGUCGCUCGCUUGCAGCUGUUGCGCACUCCUGGACGGUGAUGAGUAAAAGAGCGUGGAUGGAAAGCGGCGUGGUUAGGUCAACAUGUAGACGCUUUGGGCUUUGGCCGCCAAGCUUUUUGGUGAGCUGUGGGCUUUUUGGGUCGAUCGUGGUGGUGGCGAGAACGAAAAACGGAACACGAUUGAUUGAAGGAAGUGGUAGCUGCUGAUAAGUGAUAAGCUCCGUUGGUGACGGCUGCAAAGGUGCAUAUGUUGGCUUUUGACUAUCGCUGCUUGGUGCUUGCUUUCUCCUACGCUCUGCCACGAGUGACCAACCAUGCAUAGGCUCCAAGGACCGGACCGAUGCACCAAGUCAUUGGGUUCUUGAAGUUGCACUGCAUAUAGGCCUAUGGUAUUUUUGGUACUUAGUAUAAUCGAUGAUUGCCGCCGUAUGACGUCAUGGGGUUCUUGAAACAGUGCCUUCUACUAACCAAAUUCUUGGUUUCGGUUGGCUUGAACUCAAGCCAAGGUUCACAUAAUUUCAUAACAUAGAUGCCUCUGAGCACACAAAACACGGCACAAAAUGGACACCAUACGUGAUGAUAUACUCGUGACCGCAGAACGUUGUAUUUGAGCCCGCGUCCCUCGGUUCGGGCAAAACCAUAGCCACGCCGCCACCACCGCCACCGUCUGCUCCCACCUCGACUCCCUUGCCGUUGCUUGAAGACAUCUUCUUUCAAGGCGUUGUUGUGGAAGAAUGAUGACUCCGUGUAUAUGUUUAGAUCAUACCUUGUACUCCCUCUGUUUCAUAAUGCAGUGCGUAUAAUUUUUUCUAAAAAGUCAAACUAAGCAAACCUUGACCGAGUUUACAAAGAAAACUAUUCAUAUAAAAAAAAUCUAAACGUAUACAACAUGAAAAUAUAACUGAUGAUGUAUCCAACAAUAUGCAUUUGGUAUUUUAAUUGUACAUAUUUUGGUCUAUAAACAUGGUCAAACUUUUAAAUCUUUGACUUCUGAAAAAAUGCACUACAUUAUGGAACGAAUGAAGAUUAUCCAUUGUUGUGUAUCCCAUACCAUAUUCUUUGUUUGUUGAUGGAAUCGGUCUCAUUGUUUUGCAUCAACUUUUAUAAAUUUUUGGAUGUAGGCAUCCGCGGAUGGAAAGGUCAGGAGCUUUCGGCUUUUUUUCAAAAAGGAAGAAGAUUUUAUGUUCUUUUAGGUAGGCAUUAUAUAAUUUAUCACAGUUGUCAAUGGGAGCUUCGUGUCCUUGUAUAUCGCUGAUUAACAAGGCAAUUUUUUUUGNNNNNNNNNNNNNNNNNNNNNNNNNNNNNNNNNNNNNNNNNNNNNNNNNNNNNNNNNNNNNNNNNNNNNNNNNNNNNNNNNNNNNNNNNNNNNNNNNNNNNNNNNNNNNNNNNNNNNNNNNNNNNNNNNNNNNNNNNNNNNNNNNNNNNNNNNNNNNNNNNNNNNNNNNNNNNNNNNNNNNNNNNNNNNNNNNNNNNNNNNNNNNNNNNNNNNNNNNNNNNNNNNNNNNNNNNNNNNNNNNNNNNNNNNNNNNNNNNNNNNNNNNNNNNNNNNNNNNNNNNNNNNNNNNNNNNNNNNNNNNNNNNUUUAUUGAACUAAAGAACAAUUACAUCGUUUACUAGUUGGCUAAGUAAAAAAAAGGGGUUCAUUAGCCCAACUACUGUCACACUUACUAUAAAAUUGAACUUAGCUAGCUUAUAAACAACAGAAUUUGCAUCACAACAAUGCUUAAAAAUGACCUUCCCUAUUGACGUAGCUGUAUCAAUCAAUGCAUUCCGCAAAAACUGCCCUUGACAGUAGUUCACCACAUUCAGAGAAUCGGACGGUUGCUGGUUAAUUUUGGUGGUUACCGUGCAUCGGUAGCCACGGUCAUGCCACACGCACAUGACUAAUUAAGCGAGAUGUUGUUAUCUUACGGGCAUUGACCUAAACUAGUUUGGUUUGUCAUGUGGCUUCCUAAUUUAUUAGCCAAUAAUGUUCAAGUUCUUUAAGGAUACAGUCAUGCACGCAUUGGUGGCAAAAAUGUUGCUGUCUCGUGCAUCAUCUCUGUCAUCACACCGAUGCAUACGAUGCCAUGAUUGGCUAUAAUGGAGUCAGACCAUGCACGCAUGCUUUUGUAUGCCAGUGGUAGGUCGACACACAUUAUCUGCUGUAUCGGUCAAAAUAUACAAGAAAAUCAAAUUGGCUCCAUCACAGUGGACAAUUAGCACAUCGUCACGAUUAAUACGGAAGGUCUAGGAUAUAGACUGAUCUUAAACAGUUCAAACCACAAGCAUGAACUGAACCAUACGGUGGGGCCACGUGUCGGCUUCAUCACUUGGUUGCUGAGGCAUCAGUGAAGUGCCAUGCUUUAAAAAGUCAAGAUGACAUGGCGAUGUUUGGAGUAUUAUAUGGGCAGCAAUCAUGGUCGCCAACGUUGACGUGGUGCAUUCUAAAAUGUUUACAAGAUUUCGGACGGAUUUGACAUCCAGUAGGCGCGACGAGUUGAUCAACGAGCUUGACCCGUGUAUCCUCAUCCUUCGUACGGCCAUCGAUUUGAGACAGUCAAUUGCUCGUUGAAGUACUGUUUGGGAAGACACAUUUGUUCUGGAGUGAUGCCCAGCCGAUGUAUGGCCUAGAUUAACCAUCUCAUGCUGUAGAACAAAUCGAAAUAAGAGACCGAAGUUGUCGCAUCAACCAACUGCUGAGAUCCAAAAAAAAAAAAC
RNAcentral lists this long non-coding RNA (56437 nucleotides) under Triticum aestivum (bread wheat). RNAcentral describes it as "long non-coding RNA (TAES_LNC006191)". Lineage: Eukaryota; Viridiplantae; Streptophyta; Magnoliopsida; Poales; Poaceae. The record is from RNAcentral.